Molecule: long non-coding RNA, 69957 nt
Filed under: Vitis vinifera (wine grape)
Lineage: Eukaryota; Viridiplantae; Streptophyta; Magnoliopsida; Vitales; Vitaceae
Description: long non-coding RNA (VVIN_LNC000692)
Source: RNAcentral
GUGGUGUGUAAUUAAAGAGAAGUAAAACUUGAUACCAAAAUCAACACACCACUUGAUUUUCAAUGAACAAAUCGUGUUAUAUAGGACUUGGAAGGAGCUUCAUAUUAUUUAUUAUCAUCUAGAGCUGUCUACACUAAAUUAGGAUGGCACAUGUGUAGAGCAUGAAUUCCUACUUGUGAGUGUUCUAGCGCAUGUAGUUUUGAACCAUUUUCGAAGCCUUUUCCCAUUUAUGGUACCUGAGAAAGGUGAUUCUUUCCACGAACCCAUUUGCUCUGGUACUAACUAGUCAUUAUUGACGUGAGUUGUUGAAGGAGCAAUUAUAGAAAUAAAAAUAUUCUAGUUACCAAGUUAGUUUUAUUUGAUUGCAAAUCAUCCAAGAUUGUAGCCUAGAUUAGUAUGAUUAGUUUCUUCCAAAUUAACUUCAUGUACAGGUUAUAUAUAGCCCUCAUCUGUUGUAUCUUUUGCAUAUAGAAGAAUACCAUUUUUCUUCUCCUCAACAUGGUAUCAAAGUAGAGAUUCUAAGGCCGGCCUUAGAAUUUCUGAAGAAAAAAAAAACAGAAAGAGGAAAAUGGAAACACCUCCCACUGGGGUGGAAAAACACGAAGGGGAGAAUUCAAUUCUCGCAGAUCUUACGACAAGAAUGACUCAAGUACUAAACCACAAUCAAACUCAGAACCAAGUCACAAGUCAUGAACCUGCUACACACAUUGGAAUCAAGUUAGAUGGUACCAAUUAUGCAUUAUGGUCCCAAAUUGUCGAGAUGUAUAUCUCAGGUAAAGACAAGUUGGGAUACAUAAAUGGAGAUCUUCCAUAGCCUCUGCAAACAGAUCCUUCAUUCAAAAAAUGGAUAACCGAAAACGCAGUGGUGAAGGGAUGGCUAAUCAAUUCUAUGGAUCCAAUGUUAGUCAAUAACUUUAUUAGAUUCUCAAUGGCUAAGGCUGUUUGGGAUAAUAUUGCUAUUACGUACUUUGAUGGCACUGAUACAUCAUAAGUAUAUGAUCUCAAAAAAAGAGUAACCAGACUCAAACAAGGAGGAGGAUCUAUCGAGACAUACUACAACAAUUUGCAAGGCUUGUAGAGAGAAAUUGACUUUCGUCGACCAAAUCCUACGAAAUGUGAUAUUGAUAUAUAAAAAUAUAACUCUGUUUUGUAGGAGGAUAGAGUCUACACCUUUUUAGACGGAAUUGAUGAUCAGCUUGACAAGAUCCGAGCAGAUGUGCUGCAGAUACAACCAUUUCCAAUAGUGGAACAAGCUUAUGCACAAGUUCGAAGAGAGGAUUUGAGGCAAUCCGUAAUGAUGAUGAAUGAAGAUACCAUAUCUGGUGGUGUUAUGCUUUCAAGAGGAGGACAGAAACCUCAACACCAUUUAUCUUUUCAAACGCCAUCAAAUGGAAAGCCUAACACAGCCACAAAACCAAAGUCACAAGGAGAAGGAGGAGGCUGCACAGAUUAUGGGAAUACAAAACACACCAAAGAAACAUGUUUCAAACUACAUGGUUAUCCAAAUUGGUGGCAUGAACUCAAGGCAAAGAAAAAACGUGAAGCAAGUGGAGGCGACAAUCCUGGUCAUGUAGCUCUUAUGAGCCUAGAGCCUCAACUAUCUCUUGUACCACAACAAGAAUCUUCUAUCUCCACUAGUGAACAGAUUGCUCAGAAUGACUCAGGUAACCAAGGUUAUGUUUUUUCUUGCUCGAAAACGGGGAACCAUGAUGGCUGGAUCAUUGACUCUGGGGCAACAGACCACAUGACCUUUGACCCUUGUGACUUCUCUAAAGCCACCCAACCGAAACGAAUAUGCAUUGCCAAUGCUAAUGGAAUAACAUAUCCCAUAACAAGGGCUAGAACAGUGGCUCUUUCUCCUUCUUUUUCAUUACCAAAUACCUUAUUAGUUCCAUCACUUUCCAAUAAAUUGUUAUCUAUUGGACAAGUGACUGAGGAAUUGAAUUAUUGUGCUCUAAUGUAUCCUAACUUCUAUUUGUUUUAGGAUAUUCUCACCAAGGAGAUUAUUGGUCGUGGCACUAAAAGGGAAGGGUUGUAUUACAUGGAUGAUUUCAGUUAUGGUCGAGCAAAUAAUAUGCAUUCUGCUGGAAUUAAGGAAAGACAGAUUUGAUUAUGGCACAAUCGGUUGGGGCAUCCCUCAUUUCAGUAUUUGAGAUGUUUAUUUCCAGAUUUAUUUAUGAAGUUUAAUGAGUCAGAUUUUAAGUGUGAAGCUUGUAUUCAAGCUAAGAGUCAUCGGGUACCUUAUUCAAUCAGUUUGAAUAAAUGUGACACUCCUUUUUUUAUUGUUCAUUCUGACGUUUGGGGCCCUGCUCCUAUUACUAUUUAUUAUGGUGUUUGUUGGUUUGUAACCUUUGUCGAUGAUUAUACACAAAUGACUUAGCUUUAUGUGUUGAAGAAUAAACAUGAAGUGUUUGAAAUAUUUCGAUCAUUUCAUAAUAUGAUUCAAACACAAUUUUCUGCUAAACUUCAAAUUCUUCGAUCUGAUAAUGACGGGGAAUAUGAUAAUGCACAAUUUCACAGAUAUUUUCAGGAACAUGGUUUGCAUCAUAAGGCAUCUUAUUCUCAAACACUGCAAUAGAACGGUGUUGCAAAGCGUAAGAAUAGACACAUUUUCGAAAUCACUCGAGCUCUCUUGACUGUUGCUUAUGUCCCUAAAUGAUUUUGGCCAGAUGCAGUAAUGACUGCUGUAUACUUAAUGAACCGACUGUCAUCACGAGUUUUGCACUACAAAACCCCUCUUCAAGUUCUCGCACAACAUGUGACAUUACCAUCAGUUUUAAUGCUUCCUCCAAGAAAGUUUGGUUGUGUUACAUAUGUUCAUAUACACAAGAAUCAACGGACAAAACUUGAUCCAUGUGAUGUCCGUUGUGUUUUUCUUGGCUAUGCAGCUCACAAGAAAGGAUAUCGAUGUUACGAUCCAGUUACAAGGCGACUCUAUACCACCAUGGAUGUCACCUUUAUUGAAUCAGAGAAUUUCUUCACUUCUCAAUCUUCCCGCUCCUCUCUUCAGGGGGAAAUGAUGAGUGAAGAGCAAAAUUGGGAAAAUUGGCCAGGCUUUGAAGAAACUUCAAAUGAUGUAGGGGAGGUUCAGCCAAGAGAACCAAUGGUAACACUGAUAGAUCAAAGAGAAGAAGAUGAAAAUGUUGAGCAUGUCGAAGCAAAAAAACCAGCAAGAGUAGAUCAAAAUGGAGAAGUUACGGAAAUUGAAAGUGAGCAACUCUUUCAUGACCUGACAGUACCACAAUCAGACCAAUCUCCUGAGAAUAUUCAUGAGGUACAAGUUCUAAACUCUCCUCACAAUAUUUCUGUUGGCUAUUAACUACCUUUCAGGUAUAACCGCGGGCAACCACCAAACCGCUAUUCACACGAUCAUGGAACGAGCAAGUCAAAGUACCCAAUUGCCAACCAUAUCUCAACUCAAAAAUUGUUUGAACCUCUCAAGGCAUUGGUUCAUAAAUUAUUUGUAGAUGGUGAUCUUGAUACAGUGAGUGAAGCCAUGAAUAAUCCCAAAUGGAUCCAAGCGAUAGAGGAAGAGAUGAAAGAAAUACAGAAAAUGAUACUUGGGUGCUUGUGCCAUUGCCUGAGGGGAAGAAAACUGUGGGAUGUCGAUGGGUGUUCUCUGUCAAACACAAAGCAGAUGGAUCGGUUGAAAGAUAUAAAGCAAGGCUUGUUGCGAAGGGAUAUACUCAGACAUAUGGGGUAGAUUAUCAAGAAACUUUCUCACUUAUAGAAAAAUUAAAUACUGUGAGAGUACUAAUCUCUCUUGCUACAAACUUGGACUGGCUGUUGCACCAAUUCGACGUCAAAAAUUCCUUUCUCCAUGGGGAUCUUGAAGAGGAGGUGUACUUGGACAUUCCACCUAGUUUUGUUUCUUCGACACAAGAGAAGAUAGUUUGUAAGUUACAAAAGGCAUUAUACGGAUUGAAACAGUCUCCUAGAGCAUGGUUUGGACGAUUUCGCCUUGUCAUGAGAAAACACGGUUUCAAGCAAAGUAAUUCAGAUCAUACUCUCUUCUUAAAGCACCAACGGGGGAAGGUAACAGCUCUAAUAAUCUAUGUUGAUGAUAUGAUAACUACAGGAAAUGACAAGGAAGAAAUCUCUAAAUUACAAGAGCAUUUAGCAACUGAAUUUGAGAUGAAAAAUCUUUGAGGGUUGAAGUAUUUUUUGGGGAUUGAAGUAGCUCGAUCAAAAUGAGGCAUAUUUCUAUCCCAAAUGAAGUACGUGCUUGACUUGUUGUCUGAAAUAGAAAUGCUUGAUUGUAGACCUGCUGAUACACCAAUUGUUCAAAACCAUGGCUUGGGAGAAUUUCCUAACCAGACCCCUACCAAUAAAGAAAGGUAUCAACGCCUUGUGGGAAAGCUGGUAUACUUAUCUCACACACGACCUGAUAUUGCUUAUGCGAUGAGCUUGGUGAGUCAAUUCAUGCAUUGUCCUAGCGAAGAUCAUAUGAGUGAAGUGGUUCGUAUUUUACAGUACUUGAAGUCUUCUCCAGGAAGAAGACUGAUGUUCACGAGAAACCAACAUCUGCACAUUGACGGCUAUAUAGACGUAGACUGGGCAGGGAACAUUACUGACAGAAAAUCUACAUUAGGCUACUUCACAUUUGUGGGAGGCAAUCUGGUCACUUGGAGGAGUAAAAAACAGAAGGUAGUUGCUUUAUCUAGUGCAGAGGCUAAAUUUAGAGGCAUGGCUAAAGGAUUGUGUGAGCUACUUUGGUUAAAAAAAUUAUUAGAGGAAAUUGAUUGUUCAUCUCAUGAAACAAUGAACCUGUUUUGUGAUAAUAAGGCAUCCAUAGCAAUCGCGCACAACCCAGUUCAACAUAACCGCACCAAACAUGUUGAAGUGGAUCAGCAUUUCAUCAAGCAGAAGCUCAAAGACAAGGUCAUUCAGUUUCCUUUUGUGAAGUCAGAAGAUCAACUAGCAGAUAUUCUUACAAAGGCUGCCUCUAGCAAAAUAUUUCACAACUCACUUGACAAAUUGGGCAUUGAUGAUAUCUAUGCACCAACUUGAGGGGGAGUAUUCAAGUGAGUUGUUGAAGGAGCAAUUAUAGAAAUAAAAAUAUUCUAGUUACCAAGUUAGUUUUAUUUGAUUGUAAAUCAUCCAAGAUUGUAGCCUAGAUUAGUGUGAUUAGUUUCUUCCAAAUUAACUUCAUGUACAGGUUAUAUAUAGCCCUCAUCUAUUGUAUCUUUUACAUAUAGAAGAAUACCAUUUUUCUUCUCCUCAACAAUCAUAGGAUUCUCCCUUCAGCCACAAGAUAUCAUAGUUUUUGGGCUUCUUCUUGCUACAAUAUGUUUGUUGUUGGCAACGGUAUUUAAUGCCAAAUGGAACAAGAAGAAAGGCAAAAGGCCACAGGAGCCGUCCGAGCGAUGGCCUAUUAUCGGUCACCUUCAUCUUCUAAGAGCAGACAAGCUGCUAUAUCGGACACUUGGAGACAUGGCCGAUAAGUAUGGACCAAUCUUUUGCAUUCAUCUUGGCCUUCGUAAAGCUUUGGUGGUUAGUAACUGGGAAGUAGCAAAGGAAUGCUACACUACCAAUGACAAGGUAUUCGCCACUCGACCAAGAUCCUUAGCAGUAAAGCUCAUGGGCUAUGAUCAUGCCAUGUUUGGAUUUGCUCCCUAUGGACCAUACUGGCGUGAUGUGCAGAAGCUAGCCAUGGUUGAGCUCCUCUCAAACUGCCAGCUUGAGAUGCUCAAACAUGUCCAGGACUCAAAGGUUGAGUUCUUAAUAAAAGAGAUCUAUGGGAUGGGCACGAAACAAGGAAAGCCCCACUUUGGUGGAGAUGAAGGAAAGAUUUGGGAACUUGGUAAUGAAUGUAAUGGUGAGCGCAACUGCAGGGAAACGGUAUUUUGGGACCCAUGCCUGUGGUGAUGAGCCAAAACGGGGCAAAAAGGCCUUGGACGAUUUUAUGCUUCUAGUGGGGCUGUUCAUGGUCUUGGAUGCCAUCCCUUUUCUCGGCUGGUUGGACACGGUGAAAGGGUAUACCACUGAUAUGAAGAAAAUAGCUAAGAAGGUGGAUUAUUUGCUUAGAAGGUGGGUGGAGGAGCAUCGCCAACAAAGGCUUUCCGCAAAGAAUAACAGAGUUGAGGUAGACUUCCUCCAUGUCAUGCUUUCUGUCAUAGAUGAUGGCCAAUUCUCUGGUCGUGAUCCUGAUACCGUCAUUAAGGCCACUUGCUUGGUAUGUCCCUGCUACUUCCAUAACUUGACCAUGAAAUGAAAAGAGAAAAAAAAUUAAAAAACACCAUCUACUAUCAUAAUUUCUGCAACUUUUUCUGCCCAAUUUCCUAAACCCUCGUAUUUCUACAAGGAUUCAUCAAAUCCAGUAUAGCUUUAUCAUCUGUAUUUAUAAUGACAAACCAGGCGGGGUGAUCAAAUUUCACUUGGAUUCUUAUUCACGGUUUGUUUUAUCAUUCUGAUAAACAUGGUAUUUCACUACUGAUAAGUAAACUUUUUCUGAUCACAUAUUGAAGAUAACACCAUAUGUUGAUUGUAGAACCUUAUAUUAGCUAGCUAUGACACAACCGCUAUCACUCUUACAUGGGCCCUCUCUCUUCUACUGAACAACCGCCACGCGCUAAAAAAAUCACAAGCAGGGAUGGAAAUCCAUGUGGGUAAGCAUCGCCAAGUGGAUGGAUCAGAUAUAAAGAACCUAGUCUACCUACAAGCCAUCGUCAAGGAAACAUUACGAUUGUACCCUCCUGGGCCACUUUCCGUGCCGCAUGAGGCCAUAGAAGAUUGCACUGUGGCAGGCUUUCACAUCCAAGCUGGGACGCGCCUUUUGGUUAAUCUUUGGAAGUUGCAUCGUGACCCCAGAGUCUAGUUGGACCCUUUGGAGUUCCAACCAGAGAGGUUCCUGACAAAGCAUGCAGGUUUGGAUGUUAGGGGUAAAAAUUAUGAAUUGACCCUUUGGUUCAGGUAGAAGGGUAUGCCUAAGAAUCUCAUUUGCACUGGAGAUGACGCAUCUGACACUAGCCAGACUGCUUCAUGGUUUUGAAUUGGGAGUAGUUGCAGAUUCACCAGUGGAUAUGACUGAAGGUCCUGGGUUGACUGCCCCCAAAGCAACCCCGCUGGAGGUCACCAUUGUUUCAAGGCUACCUUUCGAGCUCUAUAGUUAUGAAGCAUCAUAGAAACUAAAUAAUACUCUAUGAGCCAGAGAGUCCCCUAAUUAGCCCAAUGCUUUAGGGUAUAUUUAUGUUGUGUAACUCACUUUGAAUGGCCUGUGUAGUGGGUGUUCUUCUUUCUUGUCUUCUCGUCUCAAAUUUCAUCCACUUGGAUAGUAAUAAAUUUCCAUCUAUGAGUAAUUCUUUUUGUGUUACUUAAAAUAUAGACCACAACUGCACCAGCAACAAAAGGUUGUUGCAACAACAGAACUCAACAAAACCAAGAUCACUCAAGAAUUGUGCAAGUAGUUAGCAAUAUGGUAGUGUAGUUUGAACUGUGCAAAUAGUUAGGAAUCUGAUUGUGUAGUUUGUUAUAGCUGAAACUAUAAGUAGCAUAGUAGAGAACCUCUCCUGAACAUGUAAUUCUUCAUCUCAAUAUACAGAAACUAAAUUUGCAUUCUCCUGAUACAAACUUACAUGGUAUCAGAGCCACCCCUCUUCAUAUUUCCCUUAGUCUUCUCGGAUACAAGCUAAAGCUGCAAAUUCGUCCUCAACCAUAGCUCAAUCAAUGCAGAUGUUGAAUCAGGCACUGCCCAUUAAACUUGAUAAAGAUAAACUACCUGCAUUGGAAAACACAAUUGGAGAAUGUGAUCUUGGCAAACGGCUUUGAAAACCACAUUGAAGGUUUGACAGUCUAUCUUUCAAAAACAACAAGCAAUGGUGAAACGAAUCCAAAGUUUAUUCUUUGGCGAAGAUUUGACCAAAUGAUCCUCAGUUGGAUCUACUCCUCACUUACUCCAGAAAUUAUGGGUCAAAUAAAAGUGUAUCAAACCUCCCAUGAUGCAUGGUCCGCUUUGGAAAAGAUCUUCUCGACUUCAUCCAAAGCUUGGGUGAUGCAAUUACAACUAGAAUUGCAAACCACGAAGAAAUGAUCUCUCUCAAUGAUGGAUUACAUUCUCAAGUUGAAGAAUCUGACUGACCACUUAGCUGCCAUUGGAGAACUGGUACACAACAGAGAUCAUAUUCUGAAACUGCUUGGAGGGCUUGGUGUAGAAUACAAUUCCAUUGUGGCGUCUCUUAUAGCAAGAGAAGAUGAAGUUUCACUGCAUACGGUGCACAAUAUUCUGUUAACCUAUGAACAGUGCCUGAAUCUUUAGAAGUCAACAGAAAACAAUGUAAUCUCUACAAAUCUCACUACCACAUCGUCAAAUCACCACAACAACAGAAGGAAUUCCAAUUGAAAUUCCUCAAGAAACAAUAGCAGAAUAGUCAACUCUGAACGCAACUCUCAUGGCAAUAGAAACUUGGUCUCUCAUAAUCGCCCACAAUGUAAACUUUGUAAAAAGUCUGGACAUACUAUGGUCCAAUGUUAUUAUCGUUUCGAAUAAACUUCCAAGGGGUAAAUACCCACUCUGAAUCUAAGCCCCAUUCAACUAACAGAAAUCGAGAUUAAGCCCAUGUCAUGAUUGCAUCUUCUAUUAACAUAAAGAGUAAGGAAUGGUUCUUUGACACUCGCGCCACCCAUCAUCUUUCUCAAACUACCACCUCUCUGGACAAUAUACAAUCAUAUAAUGGCAAUGACAAGGUGACAAUCGGGAAUGGUACACAAUUUCCCAUUCUUCAUACGGGUACUAAAAUUUUUCAGUUUCCUUUUAAAGUGUUUCAAUUAAAAAGAGUUCUUCAUGCUCCUCAUCUUGCAACCAAUCUUGUUAGUGUCGCUCAUUUCUGUGCUGACAACAAUACAUUUGUUGAGUUUCAUCCUCGGUUCUUUCUUGUCAAAGAACAGGUUACCAAGAAAGUUCUUCUCAAAGGUCAUCUCGAACGAGGAUUGUAUAAAUUUCCUACCAAUUUUAGCUCCACUGCAGGCUUGUUCUCUAGCCUCAGCAACUUUUCAUCUUUAAAUUCCACGAUUGAGCUUUAGCAUUCUCAACUUGGUCAUCCUGCUGAAGAUAUAAUGAAACAUGUUCUGAACAACUGUAAUAUUUCUUAUCAAUGUAAUAAACACCAAAUCUAUUAUGUCUAUCAAUAUGCCAAAAGUCACAAGUUGCCAUUUUCGUUGUCCAUGUCAAGAGCAUCUCAUCCUUUAGCACUUGUUCAUGCUAAUUUUUGGUUGUAGUUUCACCCUUAAAACAGAGAUUGGCUAUAAAAAAGAAAAAAUGGAAGAGUAACACCUAGGAAUAGAGGAGUUAAAAACAGUCCACCAAAAACAGAGGACCUUUUUUCUUUUCUUCACUUUGUAUUCUCAGUUAUGUUGUUUUUGUUGUACAGUAUGUAGUUUUGAAACCAAAUGCAAAGAGAUUUAACUUGAGUAAACCUCUCCACAUGGAAGCAUGACAACCACUCAAAACAUAAAAACAAAAAACUUAUUUUUUACAUAUAUAACCUAAACACAGCAUAGGCACAUUAUGUUACAUUCUCCCCCCUAAUGUGAUGUUCCUCCAUACCAAAAAGCUUUCGGAAGUGAACCCAAAAGUUUCUCAACAAUUCUUUUAUCACUAAUUUCUUCGCCAUAUGACUUCAUCUGAUUUACUAAUCUAAAAGAAAACUCAUUUAGAAUUUCAUUCUCCUUCAUUUUCAUAUUUUCCAACUCUCUUCUUAAAGCUUGAAGCUUAAUUUUUACAUAAAAAACAAAAAACUUAAUUUUUACAUAUAUAUAUAUAACCUAAACACAGCAUAGGCACAUUAUGUUACACUAAUAUCUAGGCUCCUGCACCCACUUUGUCUACUUCCGAUGCAUGAUUUUUUCUGCUACUCAUAGAUGAGUUCUCAAGAUUUUCUUGGCUUUAUCCACUGCACACCAAAGAUUAAGUACUUACAAUGUUUAUAAAAUUUCUCACUUUAGUGGAAAAACAACUUAACUUCAAAAUUAAGAGCCUACAAUCAAAUAACGAUGGUGAAUUCAAAGAAUUUUCUUCCUAUCUUGCUGCUCAUAGCAUUGAACACAAGUUCUCCUACCCAUACACACCUGAACAGAAUGGGAGAGUCAAGCAGAAAUUGAGACAUGUUAUAGAAACUAGUCUUGCUUUUCUAGCCAAAGCCUCCUUACCUCUCUCUUUCUGGUUGUAUGUUUUUCAUACUGCCAUAUUCCUCAUCAACUAUCUACCUACCAAGGUACUUAAAUAUCAAUCUCCAUUUCAAACUCUUUUUGGGAAAAUUCCUAAUUAUCAUUAUCUCAAGACAUUCGGUUGUCUUUGCUACCCAUACAUUAGACCAUACAACAAGCAAAAACUGCAAUAUUGUUCUACUCCAUGCAUCUUUCUUGGCUAUAGAAACAAUCACAAAGGAUACUUAUAUUUUGAUCCAAAAACUACCAGACUUUAAAUAACUAGACAUGUUAUUUCUCAUGAAUCAAUCUUUCCAGCUCUAUCACCUUCAACUUCUUCUAAUCCUAGUUCUUCCAUUUACACUCAUGCAUUUCUUCCCAUAAACAUGUCCUAUUCUCUUGCUUUAUCUUCUCCUGACGUUCCACAGCAUAAUCCCACACCUUUGUCUUCACCACUUCACUCAUCUUCUGACCACACCCUUCAAACUAUACUUAACAAUGCUCCUCAGCAUCCUCCUAUUAUGAAUAAUUAUCAUAUGAUAACGCGUGCCAAGGAUGGCAUUGUAAAAAAGAAAGCUUUUUUGUCUCACAUGCCCACUAAACCAGCAACAUUUUCUCAAGCUAUCAAAAGUUUCUACUAGUCCAAGGCUAUGUAACAAGAGUAUGAUAUUCUACUCAAAAACAAAACAUGGAAUCUAGUUCCUGGUCCUUCAAAUGCCAAUAUUAUCGACUGCAAAUGUUUGGUCAAAAUUUAUCCAAACAUGAUGGAGAUCUUUCCAUGAUGUCACACUAUAUUGGCACAGUUGGUGCUCUUCAAUACCUCACAUUCACGAGACCUAAUAUUUCAUUUGUUGUCAACAUAUCAUGCCAGUUUAUGAGUAGUCCCUCCAACACACAUUGGCUUGUUGUAAAGCGCAUCUUACGUUAUCUUAAAGGCACUACAUCUUAUGGUCUUUCCAUGCAACUGUCUCUCUUUGGACAUUUAAGCAUACACUGAUGCAGAUUGGGCUUUUUGUACAAAUGACAAAAGAAGCACCAGUGGCUAUUGUAUUUUCACUAGGCCAAAAUUGGCAGCAAGUAGAAAGUUGUUUCAAGAAGUAGUGUGGAAUCUGAGUAUCAUGGCAUAACUGUUGUCACUUCCAAAAUUGCUUGGAUUCAAUCUCUACUCACCGAGUUAUGUCUUUCUCCUUCAGCACCACCACUUCUGUGGUGUGACAACCAAAGUGUUGCACAUCUUGCUGCCAAUCCCAUAUUUCAUGCUCAAGCAAAGCAAAUUGAACUCGACCUUCAUUUUAUUCGUAAUAAAGUCCUUCAAAACCAACUUAGUAUUCGGUAUCUUCUCUCUUUCAACCAAAUCAUUGAUAUCUUCACUAAACAUAUCUCAAGCUCUCGGUUUUUUUAGCUUUCAAACCAAACUCUUUAUUGUUCUCAAACCUUUGUUCCCAAACCUGCGAGCUUGUGGGGGGAUGAUAGGCCACAACUGCACCAGCAACAAAAGGCUGUUGCAACAACAGAACCAAGAUCACUCAAGAACUAUGCAAGUAGUUAGGAAUUUGGUAGUGUAGUUUGAAUUGUGAAAAUAGUUAGGAAUUUGGCAGUGUAGUUUGUUACAACUGAAACUAUAAAUAGUAGAGAAGAGAACCUCUCCUGAACAUGUAAUUCUUCCAAUCAAUAUACAUAAACUAAAUUUGCAUUCUCCUUAUACAAACUUAUACUCCUUUCUCAUCUUCUCAUCUCAAAUUUCAUCCACUUGGAUGGUAUAUCUAUGAGUAAUUCUUUUUGUGUUACUUAAAAUAUCUUAAGUUUGUUUUUUAUAAAAACAAAAACAGGUUUGACACUAAAAAAAAAAAUAGAAAAUGGUUUUAAAAUAUCUACCUCUUUCAACUAUUCUCACUUAUUUUAAAAAAUAAAUAUAAAAAUAUGUAAAAUGAUAAUAAAUAAAUAAAUAAAGUACUGACAUAAAAUUUAUUUUUAAAAAUAUAUAUAUAUUUAAAAACAUAAAAAAUAAAUUAAUAAUAUUUCAAAUUCUAAAAUAGAAUUUUAUUCACAAAACAUCAAAGAACAAUUAUUAGAAACAAUUCUCAAAUAUCAUUUUCAUAAUUGUUUUUUAAAACACUUCCCAUUUCUCUAUAGUUUUUUUUUUAGAGAAUUAUUUAUUAAGAGUCAUCUUGCCAGUGAUCCUAACAAGUGUUUUUAGUUCAAAAAAAGUUUUUGAUGACAGAAUUUAGGAAAUACUUUUCAAAUUUUGAAAAAUCAUUUUUUAGAUAAAUGCUUAAUAGAUGAUUUUACGAAAAAACAAUUUAUAAGAAAACACUGUCAAUAAAAAAAAUUGAGUAGAAACACUUUCAAAUACACUUAAAAUGUUUUUUUAAUAAGUAUUACAAGUGAUUUUUUAACUUUUUAAAACCAUUGUUUAAAUUUUAUCUAAUUUUUUUUUCUCAAAAAUAUUUUUGUACGUAAGCUAGAACUAGAAGUACUUCUAACUUCAAAGAAUCUUUACCCAGCCGUUAACGUUUUAGACACCGUGGUUACCAGGCCCUUCUCUCAUGCAAUUGCUUAUAUAAAAACAAACACUUUUGUUACUUGGUACUAAAGCGCAUUAGAACUUUAGACAAAACAGAAGAUUCCUUACUUUUAUUUAGGCAUCAAACCCACUCAUUCAAGCAUAUUUAAAUUUAAAUGCAGUCGUCCAUGUAUACACAAAAGACCCAUUACCAAGAAGGUGAUCAUCCUUUUUCAGGGUUGGUUGUUCAAAAUUCAAAAUCAGUUAGCUGAAGAACAGAAAGGAAAAGAACAGAGCUGAAUUUGCAGAAAAGUAUUUUUUUUCUUUUUCCUUUUCUAAGGAUCUUGGAAUCCUUCUCCUAGUAUAGACAGAACAUUAGACGUAUAUAUAUGGUAGUGGGAAGUGAUUCUUCCCCAUAAAACAUUUUCUUUUCUAUUGAGUCAUGGGAUUCUAUCUUCAGCUUCAAGGGAUCAUAGUUUUUAGCCUUCUGUUUGCUAUCAUCUGUUUGUGAUUGAUUAAGGGCAAAGGGAACAGAAACAGAGGAAAAAGGGCACCAGAACCAUCACGGGCAUGACCUUUAAUCGGACACCUUCAUCUUCUACGAGCAGGCAAGCCCCAACAUCAAGCAUUUGGAGCCAUGGCAGAUAAGUAUGGACCAAUCUUUUGCUUUCAUAUUGGCCUGCGCAAAACUUCGGUGGUUAGCAGCUGGGAAGUAGCAAAAGAAUAUCUCACUUGAUGUUAAAAAUUGGAUACAAUAGAGAAAAGAAACACUCUCAAACACUCUCUUGAUACAAUAAAACUCUCAAAGUUACAAAAUAAGAACAAGAAGAAGAAGAACACAAGAAAGGCUCAAACAAGUUCUUGGAAUUUUGUCCAAAGACUCUAUUUCCUCCCACCACUAGAAAUCUUUAGGGAACUAAUGGAAAUAGUCUUGGGAUUGAUCAAGCCUUUUCACUUUUCUGCAUAAGAUUUCAAAAAGAAGAAAAGUCAUAUAUAGCACUCUUAGGGUUGAAAAAUGGUUACAAGGAUGAGAAAAAACUCAUUGUCUUCCUCAAUCUCUUCAUCUUUGUAACAUUCAAAAAUUAAAUCAUAUGUUUAAUUCACACAUUAAACAUGAUUUAAUCUCAAAUGUGUAACUCUCUUACACUUAACCUCUUAAGUUUUAUAAAGUUACAAAGAUGAGAAGACUCAUUGUCUUCCUUAACCUUUCAAGUUUUGUAACAUUUCAAAACUUAAUCAUGUGUUUAAUUCACACAUUAAAAGUGUAACCCUUCUUACACUUUAUUUUCAAAAGUUAUUUUUCAAAAGUGUAACUCUUCUUACACUUUAUUUUUAACCAACAAUAUAUAUAUAUAUAUAUAUAUAACAAUCCCCCACUUGGUUAAAAAUAAACAUCAACCCUUAUAACCUCAACAAUGAAAAUGCAUAAAAUAAAAUAUCUUUCGAUUUGAAUUUUACCUUAGUGUAAUUGUCACAAAGCUCCGUUGAAAUCCCAGGUUGCUUGUAGCAUUAAACCAGUUAUUCCUUGUAACGAAACCGGUAACAACACACACACUUCCACUAACCACAUGAGUGCCCAUUAUUUUCUUGCUUAGCACUUUUAUGGCCAUGUGCUCAAUCCAUUCAUGAACUUUCUUGAAAGAAACUCCAACUCUCAUGAGAGGCGGCACCACCCCUAAGUUCACAUAGGUGAAAUUCUUCCAGCAUCCUUGUUACCUUUAAGAUGCUUGUCACACAUAGACUGAAUUUCAUUAAAAGCUUUAAGCUUAACCCUCCAACGGUAACAACCAGCAUUAAUCAUCACAGAUGGAACUCACAUGUUCUAAUGCUGCCACAACCCACUUAUCAAUGACUUGUUUUUACCUAUUGAACUUAAGACUAGUCAUUUCGUAGUAUUAAGUUAGGUUACCAUCAUUGGUGAAUUUUAUUUAAGGAGUUUUAGUCACAUCCCUCUAGAUGUUAUCCUUACUAAAUCUCUUGUAAGAGGCUUAGUAAAAGGAUCCGCCAAGUUUCCACUUGACCUCACAAAUGAGAUUGAGAUGAUUCCAUAUUGAAUCAAUUGUCUCACAUACUCAUGUCUAAUGCUUAUAUGUCUAGACUUCCCAUUGUACACUCCACUGUACGCACGAGCUAGAGUGGCUUGACUGUCACAAUGUAUCGACACUGUUGACACAUUAUUUGCAGUAAAAGGGAUGUCCAUCAUGAGAUCCCUAAGCCACUCAGCUUCUUUUCCAAUUGCAGCUAGAGCUAUAAACUCUGCCUCCAUGGUUGAGUGUGAUAUACAAGUCUGUUUCUUGGAUCCCCAAGAGACAACCCCACCACCAAGUGUAAACACCCAACCUGUGGUAGAUAAAUUAUCUCCCACACUCGAUAUCCAGCUUGCAUCUGAAUACCCUUCAAGUAUAGCAGGAAACUUUGAAUAUUGGAGGCUUAGUUCUUUGGUAUUCUUUAGGUAACCAAGAACUCUACCAAUAGCUUUCCAAUGUUCCACGCUUGGAUUGCUAAUAAACCUACUUAGUUUACUAACUGCAAAUGAAAUGUCAGCCCUAGUACACUGAGCAGCAUACAUAAGACUUCCAAUUGCACUUGCAUACUCAAGUUGAGCCACAGAUCUACCAUCAUUCUUUUCAAGUUUUAUACUUGAAUCAAAUGGAGUAUUAGCAUCUUUAAUCUUGAGAUGAUUAAAUUUGCUAACUACUUUCUCAAUAUAGUGGGUUUGGUUCAAAGCAUAACCCCCACUAUUUCUUUUCACUUUGAUACCCAAUAUAGUAUCAACUUCUCCAAGAUCUUUCAUCUUGAAGGUUGAGGAUAGAAACCUUUUCGUUUCUAUUAUUCCUUUCAUGUCAUCACUCAAGAUUAACAUGUCAUCCACAUAUAGACACACUAUGACCAUAUAGUCAUCACAAGUCUUAGAAUAUAAGCACUUGUCCACAUUGUUGUGUCUAAAUCCAUCCGAAAGAAUAGCAUGAUCAAAUUUUUCGUGCCAUUGUUUGAGAGUUUGUUUUAAACCAUAUAAUGAUUUGACAAGUUUACACACUUUGUUUUCAUUCCCCAGUGGAACAAAACCUUCCGGUUGUUCCAUGUAGACUUCCUCAUUGAGAUCCCCAUUCAAGAAUGCCGUUUUGACAUCCAUUUGAUGAACAAAUAGAUUAUGAAUUGAUGCCAAAACAAACAAUAUCCUAAUUGAUGUUGUUCUAGCCACCGGCAUAGGUAUCAAAAUAAUCAAUACCUUCUCUUUGUUUAAACCCCUUAGCUACUAAUCUAGCCUUAAAGGUUUGAAUCAUGCCAUCGUUGUGAUAUUUCCUUCGAAAUACCCACUUGCACCCUAUUGGUUUAGAUCCUGGUGGAAGGUCUACCAAUUCCCAUGUUUGGUUGGACAUAAUUGAAUCCAUUUCAUCAUUGAUAACCUCUUUCCAAAAAGCAACAUCUCUAGAAGCCAUAGUUUCUUUGUAUGUUUUGGGAUCCUCCUCUAUUUGAAGUACUAUAGGAAUUUUUCUUAUAAUAUCUUCUCUAUUUCCUUCUACUAAGUAAAAGGAAAUUCUUUGAGAGUCAAUCUCAUCUGAUCCCAACACUUUCUCUUUUCUAGCUCUUUGGCUUUUCCAAGGCACAAUGGGUUGCUCAACAACCUUUGAAGGUGUCUCCUCUAGAGACUCUCCAACACUAGUAGGUACUUGAGAAUUGCUAUCACUCAACAAAUUCUCAAAGAACUCUACCUCUCUUGAUUCAAUUAUCACAUUAGACUCCAAGUCUAAUAGCCUAUAAGCUUUGCUAUUUGAGGCAUAGCCUACAAAUGCACACUUAAUGGCUCUUGGACCCAAUUUUGUUUCAUGUGGAUCCGUUUUCUUGCAAUAAGCAAGACACCCCCACACUUUGAAGUAACCUAUAUUAGGCUUCCUUCCUUUCCAUAACUCAUAUGGAGAUAUCUCAUUUUUCUUCAUAGGAAUUCUAUUAAAAUAUGACCCCUACAUAUGAGCUCAUCCUCCUCUCUCUUCUUCCUUGCCGCCACCACUUGAGGUGUGUCAUUUUCCUUUGGUUCCGGUAACGGUGCCAAGGUAGGAUCAAGGAUGUAGAAAAUCUUGAGUGCUGUGAGAAGGAAUCUCACCUUGUCUUGCCACCUAGUGAAGUUGGAACCAUCAAAACGAUCCAACCUCACAAGGUCUUGGUUCAUAAUCUUGAUAAUCUCUCCUUCCAUUGAAAAAUAGAGUCUUUGAUUGAUGUUAAAAAUUGGAUACAAUGGAGAAAAGAAACACUCUCAAACACUCUCUUGAUACAAUAAAACUCUCAAAGUUACAAAAUAAGAACAAGAAGAAGAAGAACACAAGAAAGGCUCAAACAAGUUCUUGGAACUUUGUCCAAAGACUCUAUUUCCUCCCACCACUAGAAAUCUUUAGGGAACUAAUGGAAAUAGUCUUGGGAUUGAUCAAGCCUUUUCACUUUUCUACAUAAGAUUUCAAAAAGAAGAAAAGUCAUAUAUAGCACUCUUAGGGUUGAAAAAUGGUUACAAGGAUGAGAAAAAACUCAUUGUCUUUCUCAAUCUCUUCAUCUUUGUAACAUUCAAAAAUUAAAUCAUAUGUUUAAUUCACACAUUAAACAUGAUUUAAUCUCAAAUGUGUAACUCUCUUACACUUAACCUCUUAAGUUUUAUAAAGUUACAAAGAUGAGAAGACUCAUUGUCUUCCUUAACCUUUCAAGUUUUGUAACAUUUCAAAACUUAAUCAUGUGUUUAAUUCACACAUUAAAAGUGUAACCCUUCUUACACUUUAUUUUCAAAAGUUAUUUUUCAAAAGUGUAACUCUUCUUACACUUUAUUUUUAACCAACAAUAUAUAUAUAUAUAUAUAUAUAUAUAUAUAUAUAUAUAUAUAUAUAUAUAUAUAUAUAUAUAUAUAUAUAUAUAUAUAAAUAUAACAUCACUACCAUGGACAAAGCAUUUGCCACUCAACCCAGAUCCUUGGCAGGAAAGCUCAUGGGCUAUAACCAUGCCAUGUUUGGCUUCUCUCCUUGCAGGGCAUACUAGCAUGAUGUAAGGAAGUUGGCCUCGAUUGUGUUGGAUUGUGAAGCUUGAACCAGUUUUAUUGCUCUUCGCUCGGGAUGUCGGGAGUCGAACUGCCCGAUCAACUCAUGAGGGUCAAAUGGUUGCAAAGUUUGUUGACAAAGGUGAGAUUCAAACAUGUGAUGAAUGUUUUGUAUAGUGAUAGCCAAAGUGCAAUACAUUUUGCUAAGAAUUCAGCAUUUCAUUCUAGGACUAGACAUAUAACAAUUCUUUAUCACUUUAUCAGGCCUUUGCUUGAAGAUGGAAUGUUAACACUUGUGAAAAUACACAAUAACAAGAAUCCAACUUACAUGUUGACCAAAGCACUGAUAGUAGAGAAUCUAGAGCAUAUAACGCUUUCUGUAGCUUACAAACAUGUUGGGGAUGAGAUGUGCUAACAAAUCCAGCUGGUUGGGAAAGAUAAACAGUUUCUACAAUUUCUCCAUUGAGGAAGGCAUUGUUGAAAUCAAUUUGUCGAAUCUCCCAAUUAUAUGUUACAGCCAAUGUAAAUACAACUCGCAUAGUAGAGGAUUUGAUCACUGGACUGAAAGUAUUAGUAAAUUCCACACCUACAUAUUGUUGAAAUCCUUUGGCUACUAGUCUGGCCUUGAAGCGUUGGAUGGUACCAUCAAAAUUAUAUUUGACACAAAAAAUCCAUUUUCUAUCUAUGACAUUCAUGGAUGGAUGAAAGAGAACCAAGGUCCAAGUAUUUUUUACUAAGGCUUGAUAUUCUUCAACCAUAGCUGUGUGGCAGUUGGGAUUUUUCAAUGCUUGACUAACAGUGGUAGGAAGUUGGUCUGGGGGUGAAAUGGAAGUAGACAGGUAUGUAAUAUGGUCUGGGAGUAGUUUGGGUUUAAAUUUACCCACUUUUGAACGAGUAGUCAUGGGAUGAAGAGAAGAAGCUGAAAUAGGAGGUGAGGGAAUAGAAGGGGACACUGGUCUUGAUGCAGCGGGACACAUGGAAGGAUGAGAAAAGGUAUGUGACAUGGUUUGUAAAAGGGGUAUAGAGAAAGAUGUGGAGGAAGUGUGUAGGGUAGGACUAGAAUCAUUCAUUGGUAGAGAUGAAUAGGGAAAUGUUUUUUCAUAAAAAAAUAAUGCUUCUUGAAAUGUAAACUUUCCUGGAAUGAUGUAAAUAUAGGUAUCCUUUAUGGGAGAGACUAUAUCCAAUAAAUAUGCAUUGAGUUGACUGAUAUUCUAGUUUAUGGUUUUUGUAAGGUCGGAGAUACGGAUAGCAAGCACAGCCAAAAGUCUUCAAGAAUAAAAAAUUAGGUGAGGACUUAAACAAGAGUUCAUAGGGAGUCUUACAAUGGAAAACCGGAGUUGGUAGUCUAUUGAGAAGGUAAGUUGUUGUAGAGAAGGCAUGCCACCAGAAAGUAAAUGGCAAUUGAGACUUAGCCAAUAAAGUCAAUCCAAUUUCUACAAUGCUUCUAUGCUUUCGUUCCACCUUCCCAUUUUGUUGAUGAACAUGAGGACAAGGAUGACGGAAGAGGAUGUCUUUCUUCUACAGAAGAUAUUGAAGGGGACGAAACUCUCCACCCCAGUCUGUUUGUAGACACUUAAGUUUGGUGGGAAAUUGUCGAUCUACCAAUGCUAUGAACUGCAAGACAAUUGAUGUUGCUUGGGACUUUUGUUGCAUGGGAUAAAUCCAAGUACAGUUUGUAAAAGCAUCUACAAAUGCAAUGUAAUAUUUGUACCCAUCACAUGAAGUUGUAUGUACAGGACCCUACACGUCCGAAAAAACUAGUUCGAAUGGAACUUGUGUUUUAUUAAUAGUGGUAGAGAAUGAAAGCUGUUUUGCCUUGCCUAAAGGACAAGUAGUACAAAAACCGAGUUCGUUUUGGAGCUUGGAAUUAAUGCCUAAUCUGUCAAGUACUAGAGACACAGUUUUGUUGCAUGGAUGACCCAAUCUUUGAUGCCACAAGUGUCCAACACCCAUGUUGCUGUCUUCUACACAUCUUGUAGACUCAAUUUUAUUUAUUUGCAGGCUAUAUCCAACAGAUGGAGCAGCUGGUUGUUUGUUGAUAGUAGAUGGAGUAGUAGCUAGAUGAGGUAGGAACACAUUUGUAUCUUCAGAGAAACCUGCAAACUGCCGGUUAGAUGAGACCUUGGAAAUAUCCAACUGAUAUAGGCCUUCCUUAAGGUUGCCUUGGAGUAAUAUCUCUCUGGACUUCUUGUCCUUAACAAAACAGCAAUGAGAGUCAAACUCAAGGAUAACAUCAUUAUCUUGAGUGAAUUUAGCUACAUUGAUCAGAUUUUUAGUGAUCUGAGGUACAUGAAGUACAUUGGUAAGAUGCAAUGACUUGGAAGAUUUACAUGAAGGAAAAGAAGUAUGACCAACACUAGAUAUAUCUAGUGUUUGUCCAUUGCCCACCACAACAUUACCUGUGCCAGAGUAGUGAUCAAAGACAUCAUGAGUAUUGGAAUCAGUGGUCAUGUGGUGAGUAGCACCAUUGUCAACAAACCAUGAAGUGUUUGAAUCAAGAUCCGGAGUAAGAAUAUAGGCACGAGGAGAAGUGUUUGUUGAAUCCUGUUGUUGGUGUGAAUUUUAAAUUGGAAGUGAUGGUAUCAGUGGCCUUGUGGAAUAAUAUUGAGGCUGACUUUGAGGCUGUAUUUGUGGUUGUAGUGGAGGUGGCCGAAGUUGAGGUUGUUGCGGUUGAUGAAGAGAUGGAAACUGUUGAUUUUAUGCACAUGGUGGAGAUUGGAAGUACACAUCAAAACGGUGGAAGCACUUCAUAGCAGUGUGUCCCAUUUUUCCACACAAUUGACAAACAAUUCUUAAAGUUUGUGGAUUAUGUACAUUUCUAUGACGAAAAUUCCUGUUGCUUGAGCCUCUAAACUGUCCAUCAUUAGUGUUAGAAUUUUGAACACCUCCAACUGUAAUAUGUGCUGCUGGUGAACGUCAAUAACAAAGGCUGUUGAAAGUUGCUCAAGACAAAUUUCAUGACUUUGUAGCAGAUAAUGGACUUCUUGUAGAGAGAUUGCCUCAGAUCUAGAUGUAAUAUUCACAACAAUUGUUUCAAAUUCUAGUCCUAAUCCACCUAAAAUGUAAAGAAUUAAAUCUUCAUCUGGUAUAGGUUUUCCAGAGGCAGAGAGCAUAUCUGCUAUGUUUCUCAUUUUUAGCACAUAAUCCUUUAUGCUUAGAGCACAUUUCUUUAAUGAUUGUAGCAUGAAACGUAGUUGAAGAGUUCUUGCCUUUGAAUUAGAGACAAAAAGUUUUUAAAAGAACACUCCAUACUUUGGCUUAUGUUUGACAAUUAACCACAUGACCAUACAUGGCUUCAUAUGGAAGCAAGAAUCCAACUCAAAAAGAAUUGAUCUAAAAUCACCCAUUGAUCAUAUUCUGGAUUGGAUGCAGGUUGAGAUGAAUUAACUGAUGUUGAUUGAGAGAAUCUUGGAGGUUUUGGUAGCUUACCAAUGAGAAUUUGAUCCAAUUGAUGUGCUCUAGCUGCUGGUAAUACCUAAGAUCGCCAUAUUGUGUAAUUGUUCAUCUCUAGCUUCACCGAGAUCGGAUGAAGCAUAGAAGAACUUUGUCCCUUAAGAAUUGAGGAAACUUCCAACGAGUUUCUUGCCGGAGAUUGGAGUCCUUGUGAGGACAUCUCUGGUGCAGAGAAAUCGAUGUGAUCAAUCACCAUUUUGGAUGUGUGUCAAUGGAGCUCUGAUACCAUGUCUGGUUGAAGAAAAAUAAAGAAAACAGGAUUGUAGCAGAAAACAGAGUAUGAAGAAGAGAAAAAACAGAGUAUUAGAAAUUCUGGAACUAAAAAACGUGUUCUUGCAUUCCACUCUUCAUCUGAUUGAUUUACAUAUGUUUUUAUAUCAAAACUUAUAGACUUUAACUCUGGUUACCAAUUAACCGUAGUUACUAACUGACCAUAGUUAUAGUUACAGGGGUUAGCUAACUUCCUAACUGAAUUUGGUUAGCUUAACAGGCUAUGAUGAUGGCUCGUUUGUCUUUGCUCCUUGUGGACCAUAUUGGCGUGAUGUGCAGAAGCUAGCCAUGGCUGAGCUGCUUUCAAACCGCCAACUUGAGAUGCACAAGCAUGUCCAGGACUCAGAAGUCAAGAUCUUAAUAAAAGAGCUUUAUGGGCAAUGGGCAAUGGGCAAUGGGCAAGCAACAAGGACUCCCCGCUUUGGUGGAGAUGAAGGAAAGAUUUGGGAACUUGGCACUGAACGUAGUGGUGAGAGCAAUUGCUGGGAAACGGUAUUUUGGGACCCAUGCCUGUGGUGAUGAGCCAAAACGGUGCAAAAAGGCCUUUGAGGAUUUCAUUAUUCUAGUGGGGCUGUUCAUGGUCUCGGAUGCCAUCCCUUUUCUCGGCUGGUUGGACACGGUGAGAGGGUUUACCCCUGAAAUGAAGAGAGUAGCUAAGGAGGUGGAUUAUGUGCUUGGAAGCUGGGUGGAGGAGCAUCGCCAGAAUAGGCUUUCUGCGAACGACAAUAGGGCUGAGCAAGACUUCAUACAUGCCAUGCUUUCUGUCAUAGAUGAUGGCCAAUUCUCUGGCCGUGAUCCUGACACCAUCAUUAAGGGCACUUGCUCGGUAUGUCCCUGCUACUUCCAUAACCUGAGCAUGAAACGAAAAGAAAAAAAAGCACCAUCUACUAUCAUAAUUUCUACAACUUUUUUCGCCCAUUUCCUAAACCCUCCUCACAUUUCUACAAGGAUUCAUCAAAUCCAGUAUAGCUUUAUCAUCUGUACUUAUCAUGACAAACCAGGCGGGGUGAUCAAAUUUCACUUCGAUUCCUUAUUCACGGUUUGUUUUACCAUUCUGCUAAACAUGGUAUUUCACUACUGAUAAGUAAACUUUGCCUGAUCGCAUAUUGAAGUCGACAUCAUAUGUUGAUUGCAGAACCUCAUAUUAGCUGGCUAUGAAUCAACAUUUAUCACUCUUACAUGGGCCCUCUCUCUUCUACUGAACAACCGCCAUGCGCUAAAAAAUGCACAAGAAGAGCUGGAAAUCCAUGUGGGAAAGCAUCGCCAAGUGGAUGGAUCAGAUAUAAAGAACCUAGUCUACUUGCAAGCCAUCGUCAAGGAAACAUUACGACUGUACCCUCCUGGGCCACUUUCCCUGCCACAUGAGGCCAUUGAAAAUUGCACUGUGGCUGGCUUUCACAUCCAAGCUGGGACGCGCCUUUUGGUUAAUCUCUGGAAGUUGCAUCGUGACCCCAGAGUCUGGUUGGACCCUUUGGAGUUCCAACCAGAGAGGUUCCUGACAAAGCAUGCAGGUUUGGAUGUUAGGGGUAAAAAUUAUGAACUUCUACCCUUUGGUUCAGGUAGAAAGGUAUGCCCAGGAAUCUCAUUUGCACUGGAGUUGACGCAUCUGACGCUAGCAAGACUGCUUCAUGGUUUUGAAUUGGGAGCGGUUGCAGAUUCACGGGUGGAUAUGACUGAAAGUCCUGGGUUGACUGCCCUCAAAGCAACUCCACUGGAGGUCACAAUUGUUCCAAGGCUACCUUUCGAGCUCUAUAGUUAUGAAGCAGCAUAGAAAGUAAAUAAGACUCUUACGUGAGCCGGAGAGUCCCCUAAUUAGCCCAGUGCUUUAGUUUAGGGUAUAUUUAUGUUGGUGUGACUGACUUUGAAUUGCCGGUGGAGUGGGUGUUCUCCUCAAAUUUCAUCCACUUGGAUGGUAAUAAAUUUCCAUCUAUGAGUAAUUCUUUUUGCAUUACUUAAAAUAUCUUAAACCUGUUUUUGAGAAAAAGUAAAAAAUAAAAAGCCAUGCCUGAAACAAAAAAAAAAAAAAAAAGAAAAAAAGAAAAAGAAAAAGCAUGGCUUUAUUUUAACUAUUUUCAUUUAUUUUAAAAAAAUAAAUAUAAAAAUAUACAUGAUAAUAAAAUAAAUAAAUAAAUAAAGAACUAACAUGAAAGUUAUUUAAAAAAAAUUAAAAAUAUUUCAAGUUCUAAAAUAAAAUUUUAUUCAUAAAACAUCAAAAAACAAUUUUAAAAAACAAUUCUCAACUAUCAUUUUUCAUAACUAUUUUUAAAACACUUCUCAAAUACAACCUUAAAUUUUGAACUCCUUCCAAAACCAAGUUUCGAUGAUGCUGCACCUUAUGCUUCUUCAUCAUUUGGAGUGCCUACUCUUGACUUAUUAACACAUCAUAAAAAAUUGAUCCUGAUUUUCAUAGUAAAAUCAUAUGGAUUAAUUGGGAAAUAGUUAACUGUACAAAGUUGCAGCCUGCAGGCCCUCAUGAUCGACCUGCACUUAGCAUUUUCUUUCCCACAAGAUGAAUACAACAUUUGGCAGCAAUCAUAGGAUCAUCAUGAACGACCUAUUGAACUCAAUAUUAAAAUAUCUUAUAUUAACUGAGCAUCCAACCCACCACCACAACUCAGACAACUUUAAAGAAAUUAGAAUCCAAUUACUAUAUUAUUGGUAGAAGAUUGGAAUCAAAUGCUCUAAAUUAAUUUCCCUUAAGCGGACAAGAGUUUUACAUGUUCACAUAUAUGCCAUACAAUCUCAUGGAACACUUUCUAAUAUUACUAUCCAACGGAUUCCAAAAAUGCAUUUGUCAAUGUUUUUACUAAAAAUGGUUUUUGUAAAAGUAUUUUCUCUAAUAGUCUUUUUCGGUGAAUCAUUUAUUAAGAAUCAUCUUGACAGUGAUCUUAGGAAAUGCUUUUAGCCUAAAAAAUGUUUUUAAAAAAACAUCACAUAUUUGAGAAUUUAAGAAAUAUUUUCAAAAUUUUCAAAUUAAUUUUUAAAGAAAUACUUCAUAAAUGAUUUUCCGUAAAACAAUUUAUGAAAAAACAGUCAUUAAAGAAACUAUGAGUAGAAACACUUUCAUACGACCCUCGGUGUUUUUCUAAAAAUUAUUAUAUCUGACUUUUUUAAAAUCGUUGUCUAAAAGUAUUAUAGCUGAAGAACAGUAAGGAAAAGAACAGAGCUGAAUUUGCAGAAAAGUUUUUUUUUUUUUCAUUUUCCUUUUCUAAGGAUCUUGGAAUCCUUUUCCUUGUAUGGACAGAACAUUAGAGGUAUAUAUAUGGUAGUGGGAAGUGAUUCUUCCCCAUAAAACAUUUUCUUUUCUAUUGAGUCAUGGGAUUCUAUCUUCAGCUUCAAGGGAUCAUAGUUUUUAACCUUCUGUUUGCUAUCAUCUGUUUGUGGUUGAUUAAGGGAAAGGGAACAGAAACAGAGGCAAAAGGGCACCAGAACCAUCACGGGCAUGGCCUUUAAUCGGACACCUUCAUCUUCUACGAACAGGCAAGCCCCAACAUCAAUCAUUUGGAGCCAUGGCAGAUAAGUAUGGACCAACCUUUUGCUUUCAUAUUGGCCUGCGCAAAACUUUGGUGGUUAGCAGCUGUGAAGUAGCAACAGAAUGUUUAACUACCAUGGACAAAGCAUUUUCCAUUCGACCAGAUCCUUGGCAGGAAAGCUCAUGGGCUAUGACCAUGCCAUGUUUGGCUUCUCUCCUUACGGGCCAUACUGGCGUGAUGUAAGGAAGCUGGCCUCAGUUGAGCUCCUCUCAAACCGCCAGCUUGAGUUACUCAACCAUGUCCGGGACUCAGAAGUUAAGCUUUUCAUCAUAGAGCUCUACGGGCAAUGGAUACAAAAUGGGGACAGGCCUCUCUUGGUCGAGAUGAAGGAGAAGUGUUGGCACCUGGCAGCAAAUGUAAUGGUGAGCGCAGUAGCUGGGAAAUUUUGGCACCGUUACAAAUGACUAUGAGUCAAGACGGUGCCGGAAGGCCCUUGGCGAUUUGUUAUAUCUCUCGGGGGUAUUUAUGGUUUCUGAUGCAAUCCCCUUCCUUGGCUGGUUGGACACUGUGAGAGGAUAUACGGCAAAAAUGAAGAGAACAGCUAGGGAGGUGGAUCAGGUGCAGGGAAGCUGGGUGGAGGAGCAUCGCCGGAAGAGGUUCUCUGGAAGCAUGAACGAGGCUGAGCAAGACUUCAACCAUGUCAUGCUGUCUGUUAUUGAGGAUGGUCAGUUCUCUGAUCAUGACCAUGACACUGUCAUUAACGCUACUUGCUUGGUAUGUUUCUUCUUCUUUCCUUGGUCAAAUUCCAUAAACCUCCACACACUUAACAGCAAACCUCCAUCAUGAUUGGUUUUGUCCAGCUGUUACACUUGCUAUUUCAGGACUGAUGAUUAACUCUCAACUUUCUUUGACAAAAUUUCUGGGAAUAAUGAAAACUAUGAUAAACUUUUAAAUUGUUCUACUAACAGCCAGACAUACUGUUUUUUAACACACACUGAUCAAAGAAGCCAUAUCACCAGCUCAAAAGACCAACAUGGAUGUAAUGUUGAUGCAGACUCUAAUAAUAGGCGGCUCUGAUUCAACGGUGAUCACACUGACCUGGGCCCUCUGUCCGCUAAUGAACAAUCCCAGCACUCUAAAAAGAGCACAAGAUGAGUUAGACAUCAAAGUGGGAAAGCAUCGCCAAGUGGAUGAGUCAGACAUAAAGAACCUAGUCUACUUGCAAGCCAUCAUCAAGGAAACCUUACGACUGUACCCUGCUGCACCGCUUUCAGUGCCACGUGAGGCCAUGGAGGAUUGCACCAUGGCAGGCUUCCACAUCCAAGCUGGGACGCGCCUUUUGGUUAACCUCUGGAAGUUGUACAAGAACCCCAGAAUUUGGUCGGAUCCUUUGGAGUUCCAACCUGAGAGGUUCCUAACGAAGCAUGUGGAUUUGGAUGUUAGGGGUCAAAAUUUUGAAUUUCUGCCAUUUGGGUCAGGCAGAAGGGUAUGCCCAGGAAUCUCAUUUGCGCUUGAGGUCGUGCAUCCGACUUAUUUAAGAUCAUACAUCAGUUGAUUAUGAUCAUCUUCAUCGAUCAAAUAGAGUUCAUAUGUUGAUGCUUGUGUUGUUAUUUGAUUUGAUAAUUUUUCUUGCUUCUGCUUCAAAGUUUCUUGUUUGUGUUGAGCCUAGCUCAUAUUUUUAAGUCAACUCAGCGUAAGGGAAAAACACAAAUGGGAUUUGUGUUUUUUUUUUUUUCCACCAGCAGAAUGGUCUUAUUUGGAAGCUUGUACAAGCAUAGCUUUUUUAUAUAACUAUGGGGCUAGCCACACUCCACAUGAUUUAAAAUGUACAAAUAGGCAUAAUAACAACUGGCCAAAGAGAUGGUUUUUUUCAUACUCAGAACUAUCUUAUAUUAGACUUCAAAGGUGCUUCAUAUUUUCUAUCAUGCAUUGAGAGCCGUCUAUGGUUUUCAUAUUAGGAUGGCACAUGUGUGGAACAUGAAUUCCUACUUGUGAGUGUUCUAGUGUAUGUAGUUUUGAGCCAUUUUGGAGAAGUGAUUCUUUCCCCUGAUCCAUUCUCUCUGGUACUAACUAGUCAUGGGAUUCUCCCUUCAGCCUCAAGAGAUCACAGUUUUUGGGCUUCUUGCUACAAUCUGUCUGUUGUUGGAAACAGCACUUAAUGCCAAAAGGAACAAGAUCAAGGAAGGCAAAAGGCCACCAGAGCCGUCCUGACAAUGGCCUCUUAUCGGUCAUCUCCAUCUUCUAGGAGCAGACAAGCUGCUACAUCGGAAACUUGGAGACAUGGCUGACAAGUAUGGACCAAUCUUUUGCAUUCAUCUUGGCUUUCGUAAAGCUCUGGUGGCUAGUAGAUGGGAAGUAGCAAAGGAAUGCUACACUACCAAUGACAAGGUAUUCGCCACUCAACCAAUGGCUGACAGUUCUUUUUUUUUUUUCUUUUUUUUUUUUUUUUGAAAUUUAAACAGUAAGCUUUGAUGAUCUGAAAGUUUUUUUCUUCUUCAAAUUGGAAUUAUGUAUUUUUACAUUGCAGUCAUAUCUGAUACUCGUAAAGUGCAUCUUCUUCAUUUUCUUCUUGUUUGUUGUUUGAUUACACUUUAAUCUUCAUAGAAAUUGACAUUUUCUCCCCCAUCAACUCUAGAGCUAAUCAGGAAGGUAGAACAGUUCUUGGUUUGCAGACCUCAGAAAAUCAAUUAGCUAAACAAAAACAUAGAGAAGAAAAAGAGGAGCUAAAUUUGUUGAUGUUGUGACAAACUCUCCCACCUUUUAUUUAGCGAGAAGCUAUGAGAAGUGAUACUGAAUCAAGUUUACAUUGCUGGUUUGUCGUGUGGCUGUGCACGAGAUUACUAGUCAUCGUCCUCCAUGCAGAUGAGGUGUGCAUGAGAGAAUGCUCUAAUUAAUAUCUUCCUUCAUCAGGCGAUUGCGCGUGCAUGUUGGGGCUCUUUGCUUACAUAUGGUUCCUUUUUAUGCCUGGAACUGGUACUUUUAGUCCACUGAACCUGUGUUAGCACCAGAAAUAACAACAUGAAGAUACCUAUCAAGAAAAAUAUAAGUGACCAAGAGAGUAGACCGGCUUCCUAAGGAUUCCUCGUAGGUCUGGCAUACUUAUAUUAGACUUUCAGAGAUAAAUAAGUAAAGAGAACUUGAAACACUAAGUAACAUUGAUCAAAUCAUAUUGGAGAUGAGCUUGUAAGUCUAUGUAUUGUGUGGUAGGUAAAGAGGAGGCACAACUUGGGCUGAAAGCACCUGAACUGAACUUUCCACUAACUCAUUUUCUCUUGAGCGGCUAAAAAUUGGAUCAUCAAGAGACUGCCCUACCUCAAAACCUGACCUCAACCAGUAUUAAAAUACGUGAUAUUUUGACAAUAUAUCGUUAAAAUAUCGUGUAUAGGUGGAUCUCGACACGAAAUAUAGGAAAGAAAUAUUGGCACCUCGAUAUUUCGACAAUUUAUUGAAAAUUUCACCGAUUUUUCACAAUUUAUCGGUAAUUUAUUGAUUUUUCACCAAUAUUUUGACUAGUCAAUAUUUUUCACAAUUUAUCGAUAAUUUAUUGAUUUUUCACCAAUAUUUUGACAGGUCAAACUUCAAAAAAAUUCAAAAUUUCUACUGGUGCUGAAGGGAAUCCAACCCUAGCCAAAUGUUCACCAACCACGGAGACAAGUUUGCCCAUUGUUAUAUGUUUAGUACUAAAUAUAUAUAUACUAAAACUUAUUAUAUAAACAUAAUAUUUAAAGAAUGUUUUAAAGAAUAAAUUAAUUAUAAUUAUUUCAUAAUUAAAUGAAAAAAAAUUAAUUAAUUACCAAAAAUAUAAGAUUUAUCUUGAUAAUUUUCUUCCAUUAAUAUAUUAAUUAAAUAUUAAAAAUCAUAUAUAUAUAUCAUUAUUUAUUUUAUAUUAUUUAAUUUAUAUUAUUUAAUACAAUUGAAUAAAAUGGAUUAUAAAUUUGAUUUUAAUAUUAAAUAUAUUUUUUAAUAAUCAAAUAUCAUAAUAUUACCUCCAAUAAUAUUUAAUAAUAAAUGUACACUUAUAAAAGGGAGAAUUGUGUUUUGGGCCCAGCUAGGCCCAAAAAUUAACAUUUGGUCCUCCAACCACCCAUAUUUAAACCCAAGACCCAAACAAAGUAUGAAAAUUAAGAUGAAGGAUAUUGUCUUUCAUUAAUUCCUAAAAUACCCUUAUCCCUUAUAUGCCUACAAGUGAGUGUGAAUUUUAAUUUUUUUUGUUUUUUGUUUUCCUUUUCUAUUCCCUAUUAAAUAUUACUCAUUUCUAACUUUUUUUUUCCUUUUUAUUCCAAUAUAUAUUUCUAUUUUAUGUCAAAUAAAAAACAAUAAUAUUUUUUUAUUUUUCAUUUUUAAAGAUAUUGAAUCUUUUUGCUCUUAUUAAAAGCAAUGAUAAAAAUUUUGGGAUUUUUCAUCCAAAUAUUUUUUAUCUUUAUGUAUUUAUCUUUUACUUUAAUUUUCAUUUUUUAUUUUAAAUUUAUAUUACCCUUUCAUCUAUAUUUUUCUCUUAUUUUUUAUAUUUUCUACAUUAACCAUAUUUUAAAAAAUUUUAAAAUUAACUAUCACUUCACUUUAUUAUAUAUAUAUAUCUUUUUAGCUUUUUAAUUUUUAAUGUUUUUAUUUUAAAAUUUUUAAAAAGAUAAAUUUGUUGAAAAAAAAUAACUAAGAUAUGAAAUUCUAAUAUUAUAUUAAUAAUUUUUUCUUAUCUAGAUAGACUAAUGCAAAGUAUUUUGACCCCCAACAAGGAAAUUGUCAAUACAAUUUUUUAGUUAAACUUUAAAAAUUAAGUUUCAAAUAAAAUAUAUUAUAUAAAAUUUUAUCUAAAAAUUAUUGAAAGUGGUAUUUAAUUUUUUUAUUUAUUGACUUUGAAACUUAUCUAGUUUUUUACUUGAAAGGUAAUAGAACAUGUUUAUAAAAAAAAUUAGUUUUUCAUUUUUUAAAUAAAUGAGUAUAAAUAUAUUAAAAAAAAUUAAAGAUAAUCUUAGUAAAAAAUUUGAUAAAUAUGAUUAUAAUUUUAAAUAUAGAUUCAUGUGGAUAAAAUUUCACAAAAAAAAAAAAAAAUAGUGAAAAGAAAGAACAUUGUUAAAACUACAAAAACAAAAUAUGCAAUUACAAAAAUUUGAUGAUGAAAUUUAAAAAUAAAAUUCGAAACAAUUCUUGAGUGAGAGAAUUUGAGUGGGGAAAAAAUAUUUGAGUGGAAAAAAAUGGGAAAGUUUUUCGAAAUCACUUUAAAUCUUUAACAAAAAGUAGUCUUGUACACCCUUGUACAAUUAGUAAAUUUGUCUUGUACAGUUAGUAUAAUACCCUUGUACAGUUAGUGUAAUACCCUUGUACAAUAACUCAAAUUUCAUACAUCAUUUUAUGAAUAUCUAACAAUAGGUCGGUUAACCAUGUUUGCAUCGGUUUGGUUUUAAAAAAGAAAAAAAAUUGUUGUAUAAUUUUGUUUUACAAUCAUCAUAAGUGAGGUACCUAUUAAAAUGACCAUAUACAAAUUAGAUAAAAUACAUGAGAUGAAUGUAUGUUUAACCAAUGUGUGUAAGAAAUGUCAUUUAUCAUUGGUUAAGGGAAAUAAACAAACAAGUUUUUUAGAAUCACUUAAAAUCUUUCACAAAUAAUAGUUUUGUACACCCUUGUACAAUUAGUAUAUUUGUCAUGUACACUUAGUGUAAAUACCUUGUACAGUGACUAAAAAAACGUUAUUUUAUUUUAUUUUCAAUGCAAAAUGUAAUUAAAAAUAAGACAAAGAAAUUACUUAAAAACUAUUAUUUAAGCCAAAUUUAUUUAUUUAUUUCCUUUUAUUUUUGGAAAUAAAGAAAAAAGAAUAAAAAAUUUAUUUAACCAUAAGAAAUAUGAAUAUAAGAUCAGUUGGAAAAUUCUAAAUUUAUUUAUUUAUUUCAUUUUAUUUUUGGAAUUAAAGAAAUAAAAAAUAAAAAAUUUAUUUAAUCAUAAAAAAUAUUGAUAUAAGAUAUAUUAAAAAAUAGAAAUAACCCCAAAUUUAUUUACUUAUUUCAUUUUAUUUAUUAAAUUAGAAAUUAAUUUAUUUUAAUAGAUUAAAAUGUGCACAAUUGAUUUAUUACUUUGUUAAUUAUGGAUAUAUUAAAAUUUUUGAUAAAAAAUAAAUAAAGAAAAUAAAAUUAAAAAGAGUAAUAAAUAUAUAUAAUUUAGUUAUUAAAUUAUUUUUCAUGUAAAAGAUAGUCCCACAAAAAACACAUAAUUGAUCAAUUUCUUUGUUUAAUCGUAAACAUACUAUAUUUUUUUUUAUUAUUAAAAUAACUAAUGAAAAAAAAAUAAAAAUGGAUAAUCAAUGAAUGAAAUUUAGUUCUUUUUAUUAUUUUCAUAUAAAAAAUAGUACUAAGGUUUUCAAUUUUUAUUUUUUAAAAUAGUUUUCAUUUUUUAAAUAAAUGUUUUUUCAAAAAGAAAAUAUAAAAAAUAUAAAUCAUAUUACUAUUUUUUAGAAAGUAUUUUUUAAAAUAGCUUUCGAACAUAAUUUUUCUUUAUUUAUAAUUUAAAAUAGAAAAUAAUGUUGAUUUUCAAUUAUUUAUAAAAAAAAAAUUAAAAUAAUGAAAAAUCCAAAUUGUUAAAAUAUAAUUAUUAUGGUUGCAUGAAUAAUGGUGCAAUAAAGACAAAAAAAAAAAAAAAAAAGUUUAUGUGAAAGGUCAUGGGGUAUUUUAGUCCAUCACUAUUUUAUGUCCUUAAAAGGUAAUAUAUAAAAAUUUGAAGGAUAUAUUGGUCUUUUAACAUCUCAUAUCCUUUUCAUCAAUUAUGGAAGUUAUAUGGACCAAAUGUUAAUUUUUAGGCCCAACUGGGCCCAAAACACAAUUCUCCCCUUAUAAAAUACAUAUUUGUUUAUUCUUGCAUAUAAUAUUAUUAUCAAAUAUGAUAAAUUAUAUCACAUAUGUAUUUUUAUUUUUUAACAAAAUAUCUAUUAUACUUUUAAUUUUAUUUUUAAAUUUUUUUCUAUAUAUUUAUAAGUUUUAAUCAAUUUUAGAUUUAUCAAUAUUUUAUAUUAAAAUAUGGAGAUAUAUCAUAAAAUGAAGGGUUGUUCCAUGGUACCCACUUUUCAUUUUGGGGGUACCUACCCACAUUUGACCCCAAUAAAAAGAUGACAUGUGUUAAGUAUAUAUCAUUAAAAAAUUUAUAAAAACUUAUCAAACUGGUAAAGAUGACUUGUUGGUGAAAAAUAAUCACAUGCAUUUCAUAUAUAUCCAAAUAUUACAACUUUUUUAUAAUUUAUUAUUAAAUAUCAAAUAUAAUUUGUUAUUUAAUGCAUUACCUAACUCUAUCUAAAAAAAGAAAAUCCUACCAACUACUCUUAUACUCUCAUUAUUCAUAUAUAAAAAAAGGGAUAUUAAUUUAAUAUGAAAAUGAAAUAAUUUCAACUACCAAAUUACAAAAUAUGUAAGAUGUAUUUUGAUGAAUCAAAUUUCAAGAUCAAGUUUAAAACUUUUUGAGAGAGAAAAUCUAAAUUUUGUAUUAUAUGAAGAAGAUGAAGGAUUUUAAGUGAUUACAAGUGUCAAAGGUAAUAUUUGAUAUUUUUUUAUCCAAAUAUAAUUAUUGUAGGAAGAAAUGUGAUGUUAAAUAACGAUUUUAGAAUUUUUUAUAAGUUUAUUAUAAAAUUUUGUUAUCAAAUUGUUAUUAAUAUUUUUAUAUAUAUAUAUAUAUAUAUAUAUAUUUUUUUUGUUCAUAGAUUAAAUUUGAAUAUGAAGUUUUAUAUGUCUUGAAGGAUGUCAAGUGAUUACAAGUGUUAAAAGGUAACAUUUGAUUUUUUUUUUUCCCAUUUACAUAUAACUAUUGUAGGUAGAAAUGUCAUGUUAAAUGACAUUUAAAUAUGUAAUGAUUUAUAACAUCUAGAUUUUUUAAUUUUUUUUCUCAGUUAUUAUUAAUCAAAUUGAGAGCAUUUAGUCAUUUGUUAUGAAAUUGUCAUCAAUAUUUUGUAAGAGAUGGUACGAACUUUCUAAGAGAAUGUACGAACAUUGUAAGAGAUGAUACGAACUUUCUAAGAGAUAGUACGAACUUUCUAAGAGAUGGUACAAAUUUUCUAAGAAAUGGUACGAACUUUGUAAGAGAUGUACGAACUUUCUAAGAGAUGGUACGAACUUUCUAAGAGAGGGUACGAACUUUCUAAAAAAGGGUACGAACUUUCUAAGAGAUGAUACGAAUUUUCUAAGAUAUGGUACGAACUUUCUAAGACAGGAUACGAACUUUCUAAGACAGGGUACGAACUUUCUAAGAGAUGAUACGAACUUUCUAAGACAUGGUACGAACUUUGUAAGAGAUGGUACAAACUUUGUAAGAGAGGGUAUGAACUUUGUAAGAGAGGGUACGAACUUUUUAAGAGAGUGUACGAACUUUAUGAGAGAUGGUACGAACUUUGUGAGAUGAGGUACGAACUUCCAUCAUUUCUUUAAGAUUAAUUUUUUUAAUUUCUUUUAAGAGUAAUUUCCAUCAUUUUUAAGCUUAAUUAGUAUCAAUAAAUAAUAUUAUUGUAUUUCCAUGUGGAAAAAAUUUUAAAAAGUUUGAAAAUUUGUAAAAUUUUCGAGGGUAAAGAGAAUGUGACGAAGGGUGCUAAGAAUGUAAGGAUUCCUUACAUUUUUUGUACCAUUCCUCACAUUAUUCGUACAUUCUAUAAUUACUUAGUGUUUUAAUUUUUUUAUUUUCUUAAAAAUAAUAUUCACCAUUUCUAAGCUUGAUUAGUAUCAAUAAACAAUAUUAUUUGUAUUUUUAAGUGGAAAAAAAAAAUCAAAAAAUUGUUAAAUUUCAGGAUAUGGAGAAUGUGAGGUAAGGUAUGAAGAAUGUGAGGAUUUCUCAUAAUCUUCAUACAUUUUCUCACAUUUUUCAUAUCCUCUCUAAUUUUUUAGUGUUUUAAUUUUCUAAUUUUUUAGGAUAAUUUACAUUAUUUCCAAUUUUAAAUUUUUUUAAUUCUUUUUUUUUUUUUAACAAUUCUAUCAAUAAUAACUCAAAAUAAUAUUAUUAAACUAUGUUAUUGUUAUUUCAAGUUAAAAAGUAAAUUUUAAAUUUUAAAAAUAUAAAUAAUUUAGGGUACGAAAAAUAUGAGAACAGUAUGAAAAAUGUGAUAAAUACAUGAUUGGUACCUUUAUCACAUUUUUCAUAUUGAUUUUUAGUUUAAAAUUUUUUUAAAUUACAAAUUUAUUUUCGAAAAUACUAUCAUUAGUAACUUAAAAGAGUAUUAGUAAUUUAUUUUAUUGUAAUUUAACUUUAAAAACCUUAAAUUCAAAAAAUGUAAAAUUUGGAGAGUACGGAAAAAAAUUAGGACAAUCUAAUUACAUAAGUUUUACAUAUGAUUAUCAAAAUGUUGAAUUUUUAUGAAAAUACUCAUUUCAUAUUAAAAUAUUAUCAUGUUAAUUUUUAUGUUGAAUUUAAAUGUUUAAUAAUUUGUUAAAAAUAAAAUAAUGUGAUUAUGAUAUAUGAUGAUUUUUUUUUGUUAAUAAAUAUGUUUUCAAAUUUUAUAUCAUUUUUAUUUUUAUUUUUUUCUAAUUCUAUUUUUAUCUAAUAUUUAUUUUAUUUAAAUCCAAAAUUGUUAAGAAUGGAGGAAGAAAGAAUGUCAUAACCGAUUCUUCCCUUAAUUAGUUAAGUGAAAUUUUUAUUUCAAAUUUAAAGUGGAUGAUCAAGAUAUAAUCUUUGACAUUCAAUGACUUAAAAAACUUUUUUUUCGUAAGUACGAAGAGGUAACUUAGAAUUUUCCUAAAAUGAAUUAUCAAUAUAUAUGUGAGCAUGGAUACUUUCAUCCUUAUCCUCGAUCAGCACUUCCCAGAUAAGGUAGCUCAGUGCGAAUCUACCUCGAGAUCGGGCAAAAAAGGUGCCUCGGUGCGAAUCUUCCUUGAGAUCGGGCAACAUGGGAAACGUGGCCUCCAAAAGGAAACGUGGGCAAAAUGCGAAUCUACCAACCCCUGGGCCAUGGCACUUGCGGAAAAAGCUGUCAGCCCGUGACUACGCUUGUCAGCAACGUCAACGACAAAAUGAAAAGUCAAAAGGGAAAUGACCUUAAAAAAGGAAAGGAGGAGGAUGGUAAUCCUUCAUUGACAAGCAAAGGAAACGGAGAAGAACUAGAUUUUUGUAUCUCCAUCUUCUAAUGGGAUUCUCUCUUCAGCUUCAAGAUGUCACAGUUUUCGGCAUUCUUUUUGCAAUUAUCUGUCUGUGGUUGGUUAAUGCCAAAGGUAACAAGAACAAAGGCAGAAGCCCACCAGAGCCCUCCGGGGCAUGGCCUGUAAUGGGUCACCUUCAUCUUCUAGGAGCAGAUAAGCCACUACAUAGGACAUUCGGAGCCAUGGCUGAUGAGUAUGGACCAAUCUUCUCCAUUCGUGUUGGCCUUCGAACAGCUCUGGUGGUUAGUAGCUCGGAAGUAGCAAAAGAAUGUUACACUACCAAGGACAAGGCACUCGCCACUCGACCAAGAUCCUUAGCAGUAAAGCUCAUGGGCUAUGACCAUGCCAUGUUUGCGUUUGAACGUCACGGUCCAUACUGGCGUGAUGUGCGGAGGCUAGCCAUGGUUAAUCUCCUCUCCAACCGCCAGCACGAGAUGCUCAAGCAUGUCCGGGACUCAGAAGUCAAGUUUUUCAUCCAAGAGCUCUAUGGGCAAUGGGUAGAAAAUGGAGGCAGUCCUGUUUUGGUGGACAUGAAGAAAAAGUUUGAGCACCUGGUAGCAAAUUUGACGAUGAGAACAGUUGCUGGGAAACGGUGUGAAAAUGGCGAGUCAAGAUGGUGCCAAUCCCUAGGUGAUUUCAUGAAUCUAAUGGGGCAAUUUAUGGUUUCUGAUGCACUACCCUUCCUUGGAUGGUUAGACACAGUGAGGGGAUAUACAGCGAAAAUGAAGGGAACAGCUAGGCAGUUGGAUCGGGUUAUUGGAAGAUGGGUGGAGGAGCAUCGUCAGAAGAGGCUUUCCGGAAGCAUCAAUGACGCUGAGCAAGACUUCAUUCAUGCCAUGCUGUCUGUUAUAGAUGAUGCUCAGUUAUCUGGUCAUGACCAUGACCAUGAUACUGUCAUCAAAGCCACUUGCUUGGUAUGUUUCUACUACUUCAUAACACCACCAUCCUCAUGAGCAUCUGCAACUUCAUCAAGACCUUGAUAAUACUCGUAUUACUCCGUCAUGAUCUAUUUUUUCCUUCUGCUAUACAGUAUUUCAGGACUAUUGAAGUAACUCUGUUUCUUUCUUUGACAAAAAUUGCCGAGACCAUUCCGUAAGGUUAUGUUUGGUUCUCAGAAAAUUUGAGGGAAAAUACAAGGGAAAGAAAAUACAAAAGAAAAAUAGAAGGAAAGAAAAAGUGAAAGAAAAUAAAAAAUGGAUUAAAAAUUGAUAAGUUAUUUUUAUUUUUUACUUCAAACUCAUUUUAUUUAUUUUAACUCAUCAAUAUAAAGAUUAAAUAAUUUUAAAAUACAUAAGUUUUUAAUUAGUUUUAAUUAUAUUUGAUUUUCUUUUAUAUUUUUUAUAGGACAACCAAACAUGAAAAAAUCAUUUUCCUUUGCAUUUUUUUUCUUUCUUUAGUAUUUUCCGGAACCAAACAUAACCUAAGGAAACAGCAGACAGAAUUCAUAAAUUAGGCUGGAAUAACAGGAACUGGGAUAAUUUUUUUUUUACCCGGAUUCCCCAGUCAUAAUUCUUCUGCCGCUAGACAUACUAUUUCACAAAUGAUGUAUGGACUUUUUUCUUUAAUCACAAGUUCAACAUGGGCGUAAUAUGUUGAUGCAGACUGUCAUGUUGGCGGGCAAUGAUACAAUAGCGGUCACACUCACCUGGGCCCUCUCUCUGCUAAUGAACAACCCUCGUGCACUAAAAAAGGCACAAGAAGAGUUGGACUUUCAUGUGGGAAGGAAUCAGCAAGUGUACGAAUCAGAUAUAAAGAAGCUAGUCUACUUGCAAGCCAUUAUCAAGGAGACCUUACGACUAUACCCUGCUGGGCCGCUUGCACUGCCACAUGAGGCCAUGGAGGACUGCACUAUUGCAGGCUUCCACAUCCAAGCUGGGACUCGCCUUCUGGUUAACCUCUGGAAGUUACACCGCGAUCCCACAAUUUGGUCGGAUCCUUUGGAGUUCCAACCUGAGAGGUUCCUGACAAAGCAUGUGGGUUUGGACGUUGGGGGUCAACAUUUUGAACUUCUACCAUUUGGGUCAGGCAGAAGGAUGUGCCCAGGAAUCUCACUUGCUCUGGAGAUCCUGCAGCUGACACUAGCCAGAUUGCUUCAUGGUUUUGAAUUGGGAGUAGUUUCAGAUUCACCCCUGGAUAUGACUGAAGGUGUUGGGCUCGCUAUGCCUAAAGCAACUCCACUGGAGGUCACCCUAGUCCCAAGGCUACCCUCCGAGCUCUACCACUAAAGUAGUAUCCUUAUGUGUGCCACAAAAUCCCCUGGUUAGCCCUGGAAGGGUCUACUCCAAAGGUUUGGUCUUCAUAGGACAUAAGGAGCAACCUUCUGAGCUCUCCUGCUACAGAAGUAGCAGAAAAAAUAAUAAACAAUGAGUGCCACAAAAUCCCCUAAUUAGUCCAUGAAGAUGAUGAAUAAAUUAUGCUCAUUUUAUGUAUAUUUAUGUAGCUCACUCCGAAUGCAUAUCCACCUAAAUGAACCUCGAUGAAGAGCCUCACAUCUUGGGAUGUUACAUCACUUGCCGUCCUUGCAUAUCUACUCAAGCUUUCUUAAUCAGGAUACUUUCUAGGUACCUUGUGUUUGUAAUUUAACUGGAACAUGUUAAAAUUAGGAGUCUUGGGUCUAUUUUGGGAAGGUUUUUAAAAAUAAUUCUUAAAAAUAUAUAUACAUUUUUAAACUAUUUUCAAAAAUUGUUUUAUCAUAUUUUCUAAAAUAAAAAUAUGUUUGAAAUUUUAGAAAGUUUUUAACAUGUUUUUUUCUUUUUUAAUUUUCAAAUUUUUUUUAAAAAAUGACCUUCUAUCUCCAAUGCUUUAUUUUCAACCAUUUCUAAAAAUUAAUUAAAUACGUUUUUUAUGUUUUUUUUAUUCUCAAAAAUAAAAAUAAUUAUUCUUAAUAACAAUUUGUAAACAUAACUUAAGCUUUUUUUAAAAAAAUAAAAAUAAAAAUGUUGAAUUUAAAGUGUUCAAGAAUAACAGGUGAGUGAAUGGAAUGAGUGUGGCCUUUAAAGCUCAUCAUUUGUAACAUGAUUUAAGAACUUGUUUGAUAGAGGUUUUAAAAAGCGUUUAUAAUCUUUUUAGAACUUAAAAAUAUUUCUUUUGAGAAAAAUUUUUAAAUAUUAAAAAGAUUAAAAAUACAUUCUAAAAUUACUAUCAAACGAAUUUUAAAAAUGUGUUUGUCAAUGUUUUUACCAAACAUGAUUUUUGUGAAAGUAUUUUUUCUAAUAGUUUUUUUCAUAUAAUCAUUUAUUAAGAGUUAUUUUGAUAGUGAUCCUAGAAAGUGUUUUUACUAUAAAAAGGAGUUUAAAAAAAAACAUUGAAUGUUUAACCGAAUUUAAGAAAUACUAUUCAAAAUUCUAAAAAUGCAUCAACAUGAUUUUUGUGAAAGUAUUUUCUCUAAUAGUUUUUUUCAGAGAAUCAUUUAUUAAAAGUUAUCUUGACAAUGAUUCUAAUAAGUAUUUUUAUCCUAAAAAGAUUUUUUUUUUUUAAAUAUUGAAUGUUUAACAGAAUUUAGAAAAUACUAUUCAAAUUUUGAAAAAUCAUUUUUUAGAAAACACUUGAGAUGAUUUUUCGAAAAAUAAUAUUUUAUGAGAAAACAUUGUUAUUAAAGAAACUUUGAAUAUAAAUACUUUCAAGUCCACUCUCACUAUUGUUUUAAGAGUGUGUUUGUAGAAAGUAUUUUUAAUAUCUUUAAUACUUGAAAGAUAAAAAAUUUUAAAUGUUAAAAAUAUUAAAAAUACUUUUUAAAAUCACUAUAAACGUGUAAGAAGAAUUAUAAGUGAUUUUUUAACUUUUUUUAUAACCCUUGUCUAAAUUUUAUCUAGUUUUAUUUUUUUUUUGGUCAAAAAUAUUUUUUUAAGCUAGAAUAAGAAGUAAACUUUAAAGAAUCCUUACCCAGCCGUUAACGUUUUAAACACCGUAGUUACUAGGCCCUACUCUCAUGCUAUUGUUUAUAUAAACAUGAACACUUUUGUUACUUAGUGCUGGAACGCAUUAGAACUAUAGACAAAACAGAAGAUUCCUUGGUUUUAUUUAGGCACCAAACCCACUCAUUCACUCAUUCAAGCAUAUUUAAAUUUAAAUGCAGCCGUCCAUGAAUAAACAACAGACCCAUUACCAAGAAGGUGAUCAUCCUUUUUCAGGGUUGGUUCUUCAAAAUUCAAAAUCAGUUAGCUGAAGAACAGAAAGGAAAAGAACAGAGCUGAAUUUACAGAAAAGUAAUUUUUUUUUCCUUUUCCUUUUCUAAGGAUCUUGGAAUCCUUUUCCUGGUAUAGGCAGAACAUUAGAGAUAUAUAUAUGGUAGUGGGAAGUAAUUCUUCCCCCUAAAACAUUUUCUUUUCUAUUGAGUCAUGGCUUCAGCUUCGAGGGAUCAUCGUUUUUGGCCUUCUGUUUGUGGUUGAUAAAAGCUGAAGGGAACAAGAACAAAGGCAAAAGGGCACCAGAACCAUCCAGGGCAUGACCUUUAAUCGGACACCUUCAUCUUCUAUGAGCAGGCAAGCCCCAACAUCAAUCAUUUGGAGCCAUGGCAGAUAAGUAUGGACCAAUCUUUUGCUUUCAUAUUGGCCUGCGCAAAACUUUUUUGGUUAGCAGCUGGGACGCAGCAAAAGAAUGUUUCACUACCAUGGACAAAGCAUUUGACACUCGACCCAGAUCCUUGGCAGGAAAGCUCAUGGGCUAUGACCAUGCCAUGUUUGGCUUCUCUCCUUACGGGCCAUACUGGCGUGAGGUAAGGAAGCUGGCCUCGGUUGAGCUCCUCUUAAACCGCCAGCUUGAGUUACUCAACCAUGUCCGGGACUCAGAAGUCAAGCUUUUCAUCAAAGAGCUCUACGGGCAAUGGAUACAAAAUGGGGACAGGCCUGUCUUGGUCGAGAUGAAGGAGAAGUGUUGGUUCCUGGCAGCAAAUGUAAUGGUGAGCGAAGUAGCUGGGAAACGGUAUUUUGGCACCGUUACAAAUUGAAGAAUUUGAAGAAAAAUAUGAAGGAAUUUGAAGACAAAAUAUGGAGGAACACCUCAAUUCAUUCUGUGAUUCCUUCCUUUACAAUGAAUGAAAGCAUAAAUAAAUAGCCUACGGAUAUGAGACAAUUCCGGAAUGGAAUUUCCCUUACAUGGAAAGUGAAUAAACUCUUACAUGGGAAUUAAAUAAACUACUCUUACAUGGAAAGUAAAUAAACUACUCUUACAUGGAAAGUGAAUAAACUACUCUUACAUGGAAAGUGAAUAAACUACCUUGCUAGAAUUAUUCCUAAAUCAAUUAUAAUAAAGGCUGUACAUUACACUAAUUAGGGAAGUAAACAGAGGAUGCUGGCUUGAUUUCCAACACUCCCCCUCAAGCCGCGUUGUAGAUGUUGAUCAUUCCAAGUUUUUCUGUCAGAUCUUCGAAGUUAACUCGAGCAAGAGCUUUUGUAAGAAUGUCAGCCGUUUGACAGUUUGUCGGAGUGUAGCUGACUUUGAAAACUCCUUCUUCAAUCUUUUCCUUGAUAAAGUGUCGAUCUAUCUCCACGUGCUUAGUUCGAUCAUGAUGAACCGGAUUCUUAGCGAUACUGAUGGCAGCUUGAUUGUCGCAGUAUAAUACCAUGGGAUGCUUCAAUGGAACCCGUAAUUCUUCUAACAGCCUGUUCAACCAGAUUCCCUCGCAGAUACCUUGUGCCAUAGCACGAAAUUCUGCCUCAACACUGCUACGGGCUACCACUGACUGUUUCUUGCUUCGCCAUGUAACCAAGUUCCCCCAGACAAAUGAACAAUAGCCUGAAGUUGAUCUCCGAUCAGUCACUGAACCUGCCCAAUCUGCAUCUGAAAAAAUUUCAAUCUCUUUCUUUGUUGUUCUUUGAAAGAAGAGGCCCUUUCCCGGUGUCAUCUUGAGGUAUCUCAAUAUUCUGAUCACAGCAGUCAUGUGUUUUUCGAUUGGAUUAUUCAUGAAUUGACUUACCACACUAACGGAGAAGCCGAUGUCUGGCCUUGUAUGAGAAAGAUAGAUGAGUUUCCCCACAAGACGUUGAUAUCUUCCUUUAUCAAUUGGCGCACUUCCAUCACUUUCUUCCAGUUUGACAGUUGUAUCCAUAGGUGUUUCUGCCGGCUUGCAUCCUAGCAUUCCUAUUUCAUUCAAUAAGUCCAGAGCGUAUUUGCGUUGUGAGACUGCUAUACCUUUCUUUGACCUAGCAAUCUCCAUUCCGAGAAAGUACUUGAGGUUUCCAAGAUCCUUGAUCUCAAAUUCCUUUGUCAGUAAUUUUUUAAGUAAGUCAAUUUUCUCUUCAUGAUCACCUGUCAAAAUUAUGUCGUCCACAUAUACAAUGAUAAUUGCCAGUUUCCCUUCUGGGAAGUGUUUCACAAAUAAUGUGUGAUCGGAUUGACAUUGAACGAAUCCGUACCUUUUCACUACCUUAGUGAACCGUUCAAACCAGGCCCUGGGAGAUUGUUUGAGACCAUACAAGGAUUUUCGGAGUCUGCAAACCUUGUUGAAAUUUGAUGUCGUCUCAAGUCCAGCAGGAAUGUCCAUGUAAACUUCUUCCUCUAAGUCACCAUUGAGGAAUGCAUUCUUCACAUCAAGUUGGUGAAGCGACCAAUCGAGAUUAGCUGCCAAGGAUAAAAGUACACGAACAGUAUUGAGCUUGGCAACUGGAGCAAAAGUUUCUUGAUAGUCAAUGCCAUAGGAUUGGGUGAAUCCUUUGGCGACCAACCGAGCCUUAUACCUGUCCACAUUACCAUCUGCCUUGUACUUUACUGUGAAAAUCCACUUNNNNNNNNNNNNNNNNNNNNNNNNNNNNNNNNNNNNNNNNNNNNNNNNNNNNNNNNNNNNNNNNNNNNNNNNNNNNNNNNNNNNNNNNNNNNNNNNNNNNNNNNNNNNNNNNNNNNNNNNNNNNNNNNNNNNNNNNNNNNNNNNNNNNNNNNNNNNNNNNNNNNNNNNNNNNNNNNNNNNNNNNNNNNNNNNNNNNNNNNNNNNNNNNNNNNNNNNNNNNNNNNNNNNNNNNNNNNNNNNNNNNNNNNNNNNNNNNNNNNNNNNNNNNNNNNNNNNNNNNNNNNNNNNNNNNNNNNNNNNNNNNNNNNNNNNNNNNNNNNNNNNNNNNNNNNNNNNNNNNNNNNNNNNNNNNNNNNNNNNNNNNNNNNNNNNNNNNNNNNNNNNNNNNNNNNNNNNNNNNNNNNNNNNNNNNNNNNNNNNNNNNNNNNNNNNNNNNNNNNNNNNNNNNNNNNNNNNNNNNNNNNNNNNNNNNNNNNNNNNNNNNNNNNNNNNNNNNNNNNNNNNNNNNNNNNNNNNNNNNNNNNNNNNNNNNNNNNNNNNNNNNNNNNNNNNNNNNNNNNNNNNNNNNNNNNNNNNNNNNNNNNNNNNNNNNNNNNNNNNNNNNNNNNNNNNNNNNNNNNNNNNNNNNNNNNNNNNNNNNNNNNNNNNNNNNNNNNNNNNNNNNNNNNNNNNNNNNNNNNNNNNNNNNNNNNNNNNNNNNNNNNNNNNNNNNNNNNNNNNNNNNNNNNNNNNNNNNNNNNNNNNNNNNNNNNNNNNNNNNNNNNNNNNNNNNNNNNNNNNNNNNNNNNNNNNNNNNNNNNNNNNNNNNNNNNNNNNNNNNNNNNNNNNNNNNNNNNNNNNNNNNNNNNNNNNNNNNNNNNNNNNNNNNNNNNNNNNNNNNNUGUGGGGUAUCAACACAUGAACUUAAGUGAACUAUCCCUUCUUGUGCUAGAAAUUCUCCUAGAAUGGAGUUGAAAUAAUCCCUAGCAUUAUCAAACUUUAGAAUUUGUAUUUUUGACUGGAAUUGGGUUUGAAUCAUAUUUUUAAAAUUUUUGAAAAUUUGACUCGUUUCAGAUUUUUCUUUCAUGAGGAAUACCCAAGUUAAUCUAGUGUGAUCAUCUAUGAAUGAGACAAACCACCUAGUACCAGUUACAUUUUUUAUUCUUGACGGACCCCAGAUAUCGCUAUGAAUCAUUGAGAAUGGACUAGACUCUUUAUAGGGUUGAAUGGGAAAAUGAGACCGGACUUGCUUUGAUAAUUGACAGAUUUCACACUCAAAGGAUUGUGGAUUUUUAUUAAAUAAUGAAGGAAAUAAAUGCUUGAGAUACAUAACAUUUGGAUGACCUAAGCGAUAGUGCCACAACCUAAUUGCACUAUCGUUAUUUUGACAUGAAACCGAAAAAGAAUUACUACCAACUGUCAUUUGAGGUUGUUCUUGUGGAUCGUGGCGCUCCUUAAGGAUGUAGAGUCCAGAGCAUUCCUCAGCAUUGCCAAUCGUCUUCCCCGAAUCCAAAUCCUUUGUGAGCCAAGGUUCCGGAACCAAUGACCUGGUUGGAAGAUGAGCCAGUUUCCAUCUGAUGAGAGGAUGAAGACGAUGAGAUGAUGAUAUCAGAAGUAGAGGAUGAUGAGUUGGUAGCCAUUCCAAAGGCUGAACCUUAUUUGGGCAUAAAUUAGAAGAAUAGAAUUGAGUAAAAACUGACUAAAGAUGAAGACGAUGAGACAGGAUUAAACCUGCUCUGAUACCAUGAAGAAUUUGAAGAAAAAUAUGAAGGAAUUUGAAGACAAAAUAUGGAGGAACACCUCAAUUCAUUCUGUGAUUCCUUCCUUUACAAUGAAUGAAAGCAUAAAUAAAUAGCCUACGGAUAUGAGACAAUUCCGGAAUGGAAUUUCCCUUACAUGGAAAGUGAAUAAACUCUUACAUGGGAAUUAAAUAAACUACUCUUACAUGGAAAGUAAAUAAACUACUCUUACAUGGAAAGUGAAUAAACUACUCUUACAUGGAAAGUGAAUAAACUACCUUGCUAGAAUUAUUCCUAAAUCAAUUAUAAUAAAGGCUGUACAUUACACUAAUUAGGGAAGUAAACAGAGGAUGCUGGCUUGAUUUCCAACACAAAUGACUAUGAGUCAAGACGGUGCCGGAAGGCCCUUGAAGAUUUGUUAUAUCUGUCGGGGAUAUUUAUGGUUUCUGAUGCAAUUCCCUCCCUUGGCUGGUUGGACACUGUGAGAGGAUAUACGGCAAAAAUGAAGAGAAUAGCUAGGGAGGUGGAUCAGGUGCAGGGAAGCUGGGUGGAGGAGCAUCGCCGGAAGAGGUUCUCUGGAAGCAUGAACGAGGCUGUGCAAGACUUCAUCCAUGUCAUGCUGUCUGUUAUUGAUGAUGGUCAGUUCUCUGAUCAUGACCAUGACACUGUCAUUAAGGCUACUUGCUUGGUAUUUUUCUUCUACUUUCCUUGGUCAAAUUCCAUAAACCUCCACACACUUCUGUAUGGAAACAGCAAACCUCCAUCAUGAUUUGUUUUGUCCAGCUGUUAUACUUGCUAUUUCAGGACUGAUUAUUAACUCUCAACUUUCUUUGACAAAUUUUCUGGGAAUAAUGAAAACUAUUAUAAACUUUUAAAUUGUUCUACUAACAGCUAGACAUACUAUUUUUUAACACACACUGAUCAAAGAAGCCAUAUCACCAGCUCAAAAGACCAACAUGGAUGUAAUGUUGAUGCAGACUCUAAUAAUAGGCGGCUCUGAUUCAACGGUGAUCACACUGACCUGGGCCCUCUGUCCGCUAAUGAACAAUCCCAGCACUCUAAAAAGAGCACAAGAUGAGUUAGACAUCAAAGUGGGAAAGCAUCGCCAAGUGGAUGAGUCAGACAUAAAGAACCUAGUCUACUUGCAAGCCAUCAUCAAGGAAACCUUACGACUGUACCCUGCUGCACCGCUUUCAGUGCCACGUGAGGCCAUGGAGGAUUGCACCAUGGCAGACUUCCACAUCCAAGCUGGGCGCGCCUUUUGGUUAACCUCUGGAAGUUGCACAGGGACCCCAGAAUUUGGUCGGAUCCUUUGGAGUUCCAACCUGAGAGGUUUCUAACAAAGCAUGUGGAUUUGGAUGUUAGGGGUCGAAAUUUUGAAUUUCUGCCAUUUGGGUCAGGCAGAAGUGUUCAAAUUGAUAAAUGAUAGUUUUUUCAUUUAUAUUUUCAUUCGUUCAUGUACAGAGUAUAUAUAGAGGGUAUCGCCAUUCUAAGAAUGGGAAAGAAUGAUACAAGGAAAGAAUGACAUAAGGAAAUAACAAUUAAUAUCUUAAUAUCUCAACUUUCCUAAUAUCUCAAUAUUCCUAAUAUCUCAAUAUUCCUAAUAUCUCAACACUCCCCCUCAAGUUGGUGCAUAGAUGUCACACAUGCCCAACUUGUCUAAAAAUUUUGAGAACACUUGACUUGAGACAGCUUUGGUAAGGAUAUCAGCCAAUUGAUCUUCUGAUCGAAUCUUAGGCAAUUCCACAAUCUUAUCAUCCAACUUUUCCUUAAUGAAGAAUCUAUCCACCUCGACAUGCUUUGUACGAUCAUGUUGUACUAAAUUAUGAGCAAUGUCACACGCGGCUUUAUUGUCACAAAACAAUCGGAUUGGUUGCCUAGAUAGGUAACCUAAAUCCUGUAAGAGGAGUCUUAGUCAUAAUGCCUCACAAAGUCGUAGAGCCAUACCUCUAAAUUCCGCUUCUGCACUUGAACGAGCGACGACAUUUUGCUUCUUACUUUUCCAUGUUACAAGAUUACCACCUACAAAGGUAAAGUAACCAGAUGUNNNNNNNNNNNNNNNNNNNNNNNNNNNNNNNNNNNNNNNNNNNNNNNNNNNNNNNNNNNNNNNNNNNNNNNNNNNNNNNNNNNNNNNNNNNNNNNNNNNNAUUUGCACACCUUCUGACAUUGCUUUUCUGACACCAUGCAUCCUGGUGGAAGAUCCAUAUAUACUUCUUCAGAUAACUCGCCAUGCAGAAAGGCAUUUUUCACAUAGAACUGUUGUAAUGGCCAAUCUAGGUUUGCAGCUAAAGACAGUAAUACUCGAACUGUGUUGAUCUUAGCUACAGGUGCAAAUGUCUCUGUGUAGUCAAUUCCAUAAGUUUGAGUGUACCCUUUUGCUACCAGUCUUGCUUUAAAUCGUUCAAUACUACCAUCUACCUUGUACUUCACAGUAUAGAUCCAACGACACCCAACUGGCUUCUUUCCUGGUGGACAUUCUACGAGUUCCCAUGUUUCAUUCUUCUGCAAUGAUUUCAUCUCUUCAUUCAUGGCUACUUUCCACCUUGGAUCAGCUAAGGCUUCCUGCACACUGUUAGGAAUAGCUAUAGUAGAUAAUUGAUUUACAAAUGACUUGUUUGAUUCAGACAAACGAUGGUUAGACACAUAGUUGCUCAUGGGAUAUUUGACUUUGGUAGACAAUUCAGGUUCAUAUGUGGGUUUAGGAAUACCUAUAUUAUGACGGUGUGGUAACCGUUUCAUGAAUGGAUCAGGUUCCAAAUUAAGAACACCCUCAACAGACGACGAUUGGUUUGGUAUUUCAGUGAAGACAUCUUCGAACCCAAAUUGUUGACCACUCAUAUCCAACUCACCCACUUCCUGGUUCACUAGUUCAGAUUGUCCAGAUUCAUCUUCCUCAGAUAUAUGAUAAUCAUAAUCGAGAGUCUGAAUUNNNNNNNNNNNNNNNNNNNNNNNNNNNNNNNNNNNNNNNNNNNNNNNNNNNNNNNNNNNNNNNNNNNNNNNNNNNNNNNNNNNNNNNNNNNNNNNNNNNNUAAAUGAUAGUUUUUUCAUUUAUAUUUUCAUUCGUUCAUGUACAGAGUAUAUAUAGAGGGUAUCGCCAUUCUAAGAAUGGGAAAGAAUGAUACAAGGAAAGAAUGACAUAAGGAAAUAACAAUUAAUAUCUUAAUAUCUCAACUUUCCUAAUAUCUCAAUAUUCCUAAUAUCUCAAUAUUCCUAAUAUCUCAACACUCCCCCUCAAGUUGGUGCAUAGAUGUCACACAUGCCCAACUUGUCUAAAAAUUUUGAGAACACUUGACUUGAGACAGCUUUGGUAAGGAUAUCAGCCAAUUGAUCUUCUGAUCGAAUCUUAGGCAAUUCCACAAUCUUAUCAUCCAACUUUUCCUUAAUGAAGAAUCUAUCCACCUCGACAUGCUUUGUACGAUCAUGUUGUACUAAAUUAUGAGCAAUGUCACACGCGGCUUUAUUGUCACAAAACAAUCGGAUUGGUUGCCUAGAUAGGUAACCUAAAUCCUGUAAGAGGAGUCUUAGUCAUAAUGCCUCACAAAGUCGUAGAGCCAUACCUCUAAAUUCCGCUUCUGCACUUGAACGAGCGACGACAUUUUGCUUCUUACUUUUCCAUGUUACAAGAUUACCACCUACAAAGGUAAAGUAACCAGAUGUAGAUCACCUAUCAUCCACUGCACCGGCCCAAUCAGCAUCAGUAUAUACUUCUAUACUUUGAUGAUCAACAUUUUUAGAGAACAAAAUUCCCUUCCCAGGAGCAUUCUUCAAAUACCUCAAAAUACGCAUGACUGCAUUCAUAUGUUGCUCUCCAAGAUUAUGCAUGUAUUGACUCACUACACUCAAUGCAUAAGCAAGAUCUGGUCUUGUAUGAGCUAAGUACAUUAAUCUCCCCACAAGUCUCUGAUAUCUUCCCUUAUCGGUUGAUACUUGAUUAGGCUUAACACACAAUUUCAGAUCUUCUUCUAUUGGUGUAUUAACAGGUUGACAUCCCGACAUUCCAGUCUCCUGUAAAAGAUCUAAGGCAUACUUUCUUUGAGACAGAAAAAUUCCUUCACUUGAUCGAGAAACUUCAAUCCCAAGAAAGUAUUUUAGAGGACCUAGAUCUUUCAUUUCGAAUUCUCUAGAUAGAUAAUUUUGCAGAGCUUUUCUUUCUUCAGGAUCAUUUCCUGUAACUACCAUGUCAUCCACAUAUACGAUGAGUGUCGUAAUCUUACCAUGUUGCUUUUUCAGGAACAAAGUGUGAUCUGAAUUACUUUGACAAUAGCCAAAAGCUCUCAUUAACUUUGUGAACCUUCCAAACCAUGCUCUCGGGGAUUGCUUCAACCCAUACAAUGACUUCUUCAAUUUGCACACCUUCUGACAUUGCUUUUCUGACACCAUGCAUCCUGGUGGAAGAUCCAUAUAUACUUCUUCAGAUAACUCGCCAUGCAGAAAGGCAUUUUUCACAUAGAACUGUUGUAAUGGCCAAUCUAGGUUUGCAGCUAAAGACAGUAAUACUCGAACUGUGUUGAUCUUAGCUACAGGUGCAAAUGUNNNNNNNNNNNNNNNNNNNNNNNNNNNNNNNNNNNNNNNNNNNNNNNNNNNNNNNNNNNNNNNNNNNNNNNNNNNNNNNNNNNNNNNNNNNNNNNNNNNNGAUGAAUGAUGUCAUGUCCUUCUAAAUAAUUUUGAAGAUCAUUACUUUGAUAUUCUCCACCAUUAUCACUAUGCAGAACCCGAAUCUUUGCAUUGUACUGAGUUUCAAUCACUUUAUGAAAUUUUUGAAACAACAAGUUCACUUCAUCUUUGGUCUUCAUCAAGCAUAACCAUGUCAUUCUGGUACAAUUAUCAAUAAAAGUAACAAACCAACGUGAGCCACUCAAAGUUGGGACUUUGGAUGGGCCCCAAACAUCAGAAUGUAUAACCAUAAAAGGAAACGGACUUUUAUUUAAAAUUAACAGAAACGAAGCACGAUGGCUUUUAGCCAAUUCACAAAUAUCACAACGGAAACCAGAAAUAUCACUCUUUGCAAACAAACUAGGAAACAAUUUUUUUAAAUAACCAAAGGAACCAUGUCCCAAACGUCGAUGCCACAACCAAAUUUCAGAUUUUUUCUUCUCUCCCUCAGAUUCAUCUGCCAUCAAGGCUUGUUGCAACUUAUUUGAAUCCUUUGACUGCAAGUCCAAGUAAUAGAGUUUUUCCCGCUUAAUACCACAACCAAUCGUCUGUCUUGUUUGGAUGUCCUUAAUCACACAAAAUCCAGGCCAAAAAAUGACAAUACAAGAUAAGGCUGCAGUGAUUUGAGAAACUGACAAAAGAUUGUAAUCUAAAGAUGGAACAACUAAAACAGAAUCCAAAUUCAAAGUAUCAGUAAGAGUUAAGGAUCCUUUCCCAAUGACUGGGGUUGUGUUACCAUUAGCUGUGGAAACAAUUUUUUGUGAGGAAGGUCUAAGGGUUGAAACCUGUCUAAAAUCAAAAGUCAUAUGAUCUGUAGCACCAGAAUAAAUUAUCCAUGCACUAUUAAUAACAGAUGUAAAAGUAUUUAAAAACUUACCACCAUGAUCUGUAGCGGCUACCAAUGCAGAGGCUUUCUCAGCAACAUUAGCCUCUAUUUUUAUUUCGGCAAUAGUUGCAGUCAAGAUUUUCUUGGAAUCCUUCUUCCGUUGAUCACGAUUAUUAUCAUUAAUAACAAAGUGUUGAUAACCUAAACAUGAUUUAAAGGUCCAUGGUUCAAACCCUCGAUUCCUCAUUUUUUUCUUGAUCAUACCAAGAGUCGUUGCUUUGUUGGGAUAUCCAGACUGGUGGGAUCAGUCUUAUUGCAGUGAGUGCAUUUGAAGGUUGACUUAUCAAUAUUAGGGCUUGUCUUAGGAUGGUUGAUCGCUGUCGGACUACCAUAACGACAAAAUAUCCAGGAUUUCAGUUUCAUGGCUCUGAUACCAUGUUCAAAUUGAUAAAUGAUAGUUUUUUCAUUCAUAUUUUCAUUCAUUCAUGUACAGAGUAUAUAUAGAGGGUAUCGUCAUUCUAAGAAUGGGAAAGAAUGAUACAAGGAAAGAAUGGCAUAAGGAAAUAACAAUUAAUAUCCUAAUAUCUCAACGUUCCUAAUAUCUCAAUAUUCUUAAUAUCUCAACAAGAAGGGUAUGCCCAGGAAUCUCAUUUGCGCUUGAGGUCAUGCACCUGACACUAGCCAGACUGCUUCAUAGUUUUCAAUUGGGAGUGGUUGCGGAUUUACCAGUGGAUAGGACUGAAGGUUCAGGGGUGACUCUUCCCAGAGCAACCCCAUUGGAGGUCACCGUUGUCCCAAGGCUACCUUCCGAGCUCUACGGUUAUUAAGCAAGCAUGCAUGAAGACGGAAAAGUCUACUCCAAAUGUUAUCUUCUAAGCUAUAUUGUGAUUAAUUAGGCAUAAGAGGUAACAACCCAAUUCACAAACUCCCCUCACAAGCCCAGGCAGUGUCGUCUACAAAUGUUUGGACUCAGGAGAAUAUGAUUAAAUCUGCUCUUGUUAUGCAUGUGUAGCUCAUUCUGAAUGAUUUGUCAACUCAUAACCUUCAAUAUCUGUCUACUGCUGCUUCAUGCAGAGUCUACUUGGUUGCCUAUACCCUGACUUAUUUAAGAUUAUACAUCAGUUGAUUAUGAUCAUCUUCAUCGAUCAAAUAGAGGUCGUUUGUUGAUGUUUGUGUUGUUAUUUGAUUUGAUAAUUUUUCUUGCUUCUGCUUCAAAGUUUCUUGUUUGGGUUGAGCCUAGCUCAUGUUUUAAGUCGACUCAGCGUGGGGAAAAACACAAAUGGGAUUUGUGUUUUUUAUUUUAUUUUUUUUUUUUCCACCAGCAGAAUGGUCUUAUUUGGAAGCUUGUACAAACUUAGCUUUUUUAUAUAAAUAUUUGUGCGCAGUUUCCUGAUAUGGAUAAGUAUGACACGAAAGAGUGAGGAUUUUUCCACCCAAUCUCAUGCACAUCUCUAAGUGGGAUUAGUCAACCACCCAAUCAAUUGCCCAAGUUAGAGAGCCAAAUAUAGUGAUUUUUCGAUUCUUAAUCGUCGGCUUCCUCCUAACUCCAACUAUCCAUAUAUAUGAUUUCAUUUCAAUUUUGAAAACCCUUUUUGCCUUAAGAGACACUUGGAAACCUCAAUUUUCAUCCUUUUAACCAUUGAAAAAAAAAAUCCAAUUUUAUGUUUUUGAAGUCACUUUCUUAAAUGAUAUUUAAGAUUAUAUUUGGCUCUUAAAAAAACAAAAUUGAUAAAUUUAAAGUUAAUAAAUUAUUUUUAUAACAUAAUAUCUUAAAUAGAUAAAUACAUUAAAGUAAAAGAUAUGGAGAUAUGGUUUGGAUGGGGCAAAUUUCUUAAAAUAAUGCACUAGCCUAGCUUAGAUUAAUUCCUAAAAAUCUGCAUCAUGCUGGACGCUAUGGGUUUAUAACAUGUCAACUCUUCAUCUUUGAGCUUCCGAAAGCAUUUGCAUUUUAUAACAUGCCCAAUCAUGAUUAAACCAAGGAUUAAACAAUAAUCUUUUGUUUUGUUAUUAUCAAAAUAGAUUUUUAAAAAGCUAUAGGCUAACAACUCAUGGUUUCUUAUGCAAUCCCUUCCUUGGCUGGUUAGACACGGUGAAGGGGUAUAAGGCAAAAAUGAAGAGAACAGCUGGGAAGGUGUAUCAUGUGCUUGGAAGAUGAUUGGAGGAGCAUCCUUUCAAGAGGCUUGCUGAGAGUAUAGAAGCUGAACAAGACUUCACCCAUGUCAGACCGUCUGUAAUAGGAGAUGGACGGUUUCCUGGUCAUAACACCGACACAAUCAUUAAGGGCACAUGCUUGGUAUCUUCCUGUUCUUUCUUUUUUUUAUUUUAUGAAAUUAACAGUACACUGAGUUGCACUGCUUUCACUUGCACUACUUUCAGUGUUGCAUUAUCAGGGUUGAAUUGUAAAGUUUGAAUUAGUUUUACGGUAGAUGGUGGGGUUUAACCACUCAUUGAGCUCACAGUGGUCAAGGUGCCCAAUUACCUUUGCAGAGACUGAAGGGCAAGACAUUUAGAUAAUUUUUUAUUUAUUUAUUGAAUGAUGAAUUUAUCCCUAUUGUAUUUAAUCGGUUUAUGAUUUACAGUUUUGUUGAAGGAUUUUGUUUGAGAGAAAGAGAAUUAUUGUAUGUAUAGCUGCGAUUGUGAGGAGCAGGAUAACUUUCACCAUUAUAAUUUUUCUAUCUAUAUUAAUUUGAUUAGUAGAUUCUUGAGUGUUGAUAUAUUUCCUGAACUUGGUGAUCAUAUUGAUUGUAGAAAUAGGAUAAAUUCUUUUAUUUUGUUUUUCUUUAAUUCUACUCGCGUGUGUGUGAUUAAAUUACUUAAAGGACUGCACUAUUGCAGGUCUCCAUAUCCAAAGCAACAAUGGCUACCUUCUCUUUUGAACUCUACUUCUAUUAGCAGCAGCAAAAGUAAUAGCUUAAUGCGUGCAACAAAGUCUUCAGAUUAGUUCAGGCACCGUCUACUCCAGCAUUGAAAGUGGGAAAAAAUGUGUGCCACAAACUUCCCAAUUAGCUCAGGUAGGGUCCAAAUGUUUGGACUUUGAGACCAUGAGAAACCAAUCUGCUCAUUCUCAUUGAUUUGUUUAGCAGGUGGCCUCCUUGCUUCAACUGAAUUUUGAGUUUCUUAAUUCAUAUUUUAUCCUGAAAGUAAUUUAAAUCAUUGAGGUUGUAGCUUGUUUUAUUUUCAGCAAAUAGGAUGAAGCUUUCUCCUCAAACUACAACCUCUUCUCUCUAUCUUCCACAGUUUCCUCUACAAAAAGGUGAGUUGCACAGGCUGUUUGCCUAACAACUCAAGAUCCCUUAAGCCAAUACAAACUAAAACUUCAAAAGCCCAAGAAACCUUGAUAAUAUUAUAACCAUAGUUUGUCAAAAUAUUUUCAUUACAUUCAAAUUAGAAAAACUGCCCAAAUUUGGGUCGAAAUAAUCAAUUGGUGAAUGAGAAGGAACAAUAAGAAAACGUCGGAAUUGGAUUGUUUGGAUUCAAGAGCAGAUGUUUGAUUAGGACCCUCUUUUUUUUUUGGUUUUAACUUUGACACGAUAAAUUUCGUAUCUUCGGUUGUCUGUUCCUUCUUCAAAUUGGAGCCAUAUAUAUAUAUACUAAUUUUUCACGUUGCAUUUAUAUCUAGAUGCCUCUAGAGUCGUCCAGCAUCCAGCAACAGUUGGCUUUGGCUUAUGAUGUAUGUGGCAGAAGAUGUGGCGUUUUGUUUUUAGUCUCCUUAAUUCUGAACCAUUCAGUCCAAACGGGCAUCCACCUUACACUUAGGUAAGGUAAAGCUUCUCAAUAUUAUCUAUGUGAUGUGUGGUGUGUGGUGUGUGGUAUGUGGUAAAGAGCAAGCCAAACUUAAUAGCUAAAUCACCCAUUUCUGUGGGGUACGUUAGAUACACUCCACGUGAUUUUCAAUGAACAAAUAUGCAUCAUAACAACUGGCCAAAGAAAGAUUUUUCAUACUCAGAACUAUCAUAUAUAAGACUUCGAAGGAGCUUUCACAUUUUACAUCAUCCACAGCUGUCUAUAGUUUCUAUGUUAGGAUGGCACAUGUGUGGAACAUGAAUUCGACGUGUCGGUGUUCUAGUGUGUGUAGUUUUGAGCCAUUUUGGAGAAGUGAUUCUUUCCCCUGAUGCAUUCAACAAUGUACUGAGGGUGGUGACUUGCCCCUUUUCUAAAUGUAAUCAUGUUUUAUAUAUUUUUUUUAGAUCUAAGAAGCACUCACAGAAAGUGUGACCUGGGUAUGUAUAAAUAUCCCUGUUCUGAACAGAGAAAACUGUGAUCAUAUUGACUAUAGAAAUAGAGUAAAUUUUUUUAUUUUGUCUUUCUUUAUUUCUAAUUGUGUGUAUAAUUAGGUUAACGAAAGGACUGCACUGUUGUAGGAUUCCAUAUUAUCCAAAGCAACCAUGACGAUAUUAUCUUUUGAACUCUACUUCCAUUAGCAGCAGCAAAAGUAAUAGUGUUAAAAAUAAAUGCAAAUCAUUGUUGUAUGGUCUAAUGUAUGGGUAACAAAGACAACCGCUUUAUAAAAUCAUUGUGAAGCGCACUAUUUACAUCUUGUGAUAUCUUGUGGCUGAAGGGAGAAUCCCAUGACUAGUUAGUACCAGAGCAAAUGUGUCAGUGGAAAGAAUCAACUUUCUCAGGUACCAUAAAUAGGAAAAGGCUUCGAAAAUGGUUCAAAACUACAUUCGCUAGAACACUCACAAGUAGGAAUUCACGCUCUACACAUGUGCCAUCCUAAUUUAGUGUAGACAGCUCUAGAUGAUAAUAAAUAAUAUGAAGCUCCUUUCAAGUCCUAUAUAACACGAUUUGUUCAUUGAAAAUCAAGUGGUGUGUUGAUUUUGGUAUCAAGUUUUACUUCUCUUUACUUACACGCCACACAGCACACGGUACAUAGAUAUUUUAGAGAACCACAUGGUACACAUAUUUUAGAGAAGUGUGCUUUAAAGGUGGAGGUGGAGCCCCCUAUGGAUUCAAUCAUUCAAAAUUAGGAGACUAAAAACAAAAACCUAUAGUUAUCAGCCGAAAAAGUCAAGAGAUUGUCCACUUCCGAAAAAUCCACAUCUUCUUCCUAAUCAUAAGCCAAAGUCAAGCUAUUGGUAAGGCAAUUGCAGGGAGUAUGAGUGUAGCAUCUAGCUAUGAAUGCAAUGUGCAAAAUAUGUCUCCAAUUUGGAGAAGGAACUGGCAGCCAAAGAUACAAAAAUUUUAAGGAUUGAGACAACAGUGAUCACGCCUACAUGGGCCCUUUCUCUUCUGUUGAACAAAAGCUGGCAGGAUUGAGACAACAGUGAUCACGCCUACAUGGGCCCUUUCUCUUCUGUUGAACAAAAGCUGCGUGCUGAAAAAAUAAACACAAGAUGAGUUGGACGUCCAAUUGGGAAAGCAUCGCCUAGUGGAGGAAUCAGCUAUGAAGACAACUUAAUCUACCUACAAGCCAUUGUCAAGUGGAAACAUUACGAGUAUAGCCUGCAAGCUAUUGUCUACUCCAAAUGUUUGGUAGUGUUUAUAGAACCUAAGGAGGUAUGAUCUUCUUAGCUUUUCUGUCAUUAAGCAGAAUGGAAAGUAAGAAAAAAUGUGUGGCACAAACUUCCCCAAUUAGCUCAGGCAGGUUCCCAACGUUUGGACUUGGAGAACGUGGGAAGCAAAUCUGCUCACCUCAUUGGUUUGUUUUGUAGGUGGUCUCCUUGCUUAAAUGAAUUUUGAAUUUCUUAAAUCAUAUCUUAUCUGAUCUGGAAAGUAUUUUAAAUUAUUGAGGUUGUAGUUUAUUUUAUUAUCUACAGAUUAAAAAGAAAGAAAAUUCUCCUCUAACUCCAACUUCCUCUCUAUCUUUUCUACAAGCUAGUUUCUCUACAAUAUAGUGAGUUACACGGGUUCUUUGCCUAACAACUCAAGAUCCUUUAAGCGGAGACAAACUAAAACUUCAAAAGCCCAAGAAACCGGAUAAUAUUAUAACCAUAUAUAAUUUUUCAAAAUGAUUUUCAUUACAUUCUAAUUAAAAAAACUACCCAAAUUUUGGGUCAAGAUAAUCAAUUGGUGAAUGAGACGGAGCAAUUAGCAAAGUGGGAAUUGGAUUGUUUUGAUGCACUUGAUGGUUAAAAAGUUUAGUUAGAAUUUUUUUUUUUUUUUCCUUAAAAUUUGACACAAUAAAUUUUGGAUCUUUGGUUGCCAGUUCCUUCUCCAAAUUGGAGACAUAUUUUGCACAUUGCAUUCAUAGCUAGAUGCUACACUCAUACUCCCUGCAAUUGCCGUACCAAUAGCUUUACUUUGGCUUAUGAUUAGGAAGAAGAUGUGGAUUUUGCAGAAGUGGACAAUCUCGACUUUUUCGGCUGAUAACUAUAGGUUUUUGUUUUUAGUCUCCUAAUUUUGAAUGAUUGAAUCCAUAGGGGGCUCCACCUCCACCUUUAAAGCACACUUCUCUAAAAUAUGUGUACCAUGUGGUUCUCUAAAAUAUCUAUGUACCGUGUACUGUGUGGCGUGUAAGUAAAGAGAAGUAAAACUUGAUACCAAAAUCAACACACCACUUGAUUUUCAAUGAACAAAUCGUGUUAUAUAGGACUUGAAAGGAGCUUCAUAUUAUUUAUUAUCAUCUAGAGCUGUCUACACUAAAUUAGGAUGGCACAUGUGUAGAGCGUGAAUUCCUACUUGUGAGUGUUCUAGCGAAUGUAGUUUUGAACCAUUUUCGAAGCCUUUUCCUAUUUAUGGUACCUGAGAAAGGUGAUUCUUUCCACUGACACAUUUGCUCUGGUACUAACUAGUCAUGGGAUUCUCCCUUCAGCCACAAGAUAUCACAGUUUUUGGGCUUCUUCUUGCUACAAUCUGUUUGUUGUUGGCAACGGUAUUUAAUGCCAAAGGGAACAAGAAGAAAGGCAAAAGGCCACAGGAGCCGUCCGGGCGAUGGCCUAUUAUCGGUCACCUUCAUCUUCUAGGAGCAGACAAGCUGCCACAUCGGACACUUGGAGACAUGGCUGAUAAGUAUGGACCAAUCUUUUGCAUUCAUCUUGGCCUUCGUAAAGCUCUGGUGGUUAGUAGCUGGGAAGUAGCAAAGGAAUGCUACACUACCAAUGACAAGGUAUUCGCCACUCGACCAAGAUCCUUAGCAGUAAAGCUCAUGGGCUAUGAUCAUGCCAUGUUAGGAUUUGCUCCCUAUGGACCAUACUGGCGUGAUGUGCGGAAGCUAGCCAUGGUUGAGCUCCUCUCAAACCGCCAGCUUGAGAUGCUCAAACAUGUCCAGGACUCAGAAGUUGAGUUCUUAAUAAAAGAGCUCUAUGGGCAAUGGGCACGAAACAAGGACAGCCCCGCUUUGGUGGAGAUGAAGGAAAGAUUUGGGAACUUGGUAAUGAAUGUAAUGGUGAGAGCAAUUGCAGGGAAACGGUAUUUUGGGACCCAUGCCUGUGAUGAUGAGCCAAAACGGGGCAAAAAGGCCUUGGACGAUUUUAUGCUUCUAGUGGGGCUGUUCAUGGUCUCGGAUGCCAUCCCUUUUCUCGGCUGGUUGGACACGGUGAAAGGGUAUACCACUGAUAUGAAGAAAAUAGCUAAGGAGUUGGAUUAUUUGCUUGGAAGGUGGGUGGAGGAGCAUCGCCAGCAAAGGCUUUCCGCAAACAACAACAGGGCUGAGGUAGACUUCCUCCAUGUCAUGCUUUCCGUCAUAGAUGAUGGCCAAUUCUCUGGUCGUGAUCCUGAUACCGUCAUUAAGGCCACUUGCUUGGUAUGUCCCUGCUACUUCCAUAACUUGACCAUGAAAUGAAAAGAGAAAAAAAAAAACACCAUCUACUAUCAUAAUUUCUGCAACUUUUUCUGCCCAAUUUCCUAAACCCUCCUCGCAUUUCUACAAGCAUUCAUCAAAUCCAGUAUAGCUUUAUCAUCUGUAUUUAUCAUGACAAACCAGGUGGGGUGAUCGAAUUUCACUUAGAUUCCUUAUUCACGGUUUGUUUUAUCAUUCUGCUAAACAUGGUAUUUCACUACUGAUAAGUAAACUUUUCCUGAUCACAUAUUGAAGUCGACAUCAUUUGUUGAUUGCAGAACCUCAUAUUAGCUGGCUAUGACACAACAUCUAUCACUCUUACAUGGGCCCUCUCUCUUCUACUGAACAACCGCCAUGCGCUAAAAAAGGCACAAGCAGAGCUGGAAAUCCAUGUGGGUAAGCAUCGCCAAGUGGAUGGAUCAGAUAUAAAGAACCUAGUCUACCUGCAAGCCAUCGUCAAGGAAACAUUACGAUUGUACCCUCCUGGGCCACUUUCCGUGCCGCAUGAGGCCAUGGAAGAUUGCACUGUGGCAGGCUUUCACAUCCAAGCUGGGACGCGCCUUUUGGUUAAUCUCUGGAAGUUGCAUCGUGACCCCAGAGUCUGGUUGGACCCUUUGGAGUUCCAACCAGAGAGGUUCCUGACAAACCAUGCAGGUUUGGAUGUUAGGGGUAAAAAUUAUGAACUUCUACCCUUUGGUUCAGGUAGAAGGGUAUGCCCAGGAAUCUCAUUUGCACUGGAGUUGACGCAUCUGGCACUAGCCAGACUGCUUCAUGGUUUUGAAUUGGGAGUAGUUGCAGAUUCACCGGUGGAUAUGACUGAAGGUCCUGGGUUGAGUGCCCCCAAAGCAACCCCGCUGGAGGUCACCAUUGUUCCAAGGCUACCUUUCGAGCUCUAUAGUUAUGAAGCAGCAUAGAAAGUAAAUAAUACUCUGUGAGCCAGAGAGUCCCCUAAUUAGCCCAAUGCUUUAGGGUAUAUUUAUGUUGUGUAACUCACUUUGAAUGGCCUGUGUAGUGGGUGUUCUCCUUUCUUGUCUUCUCGUCUCAAAUUUCAUCCACUUGGAUAGUAAUAAAUUUCCAUCUAUGAGUAAUUCUUUGUGUUACUUAAAAUAUAGACCACAACUGCACCAGCAACAAAAGGCUGUUGCAACAACAGAACUCAACAAAACCAAGAUCACUCAAGAAUUGUGCAAGUAGUUAGCAAUAUGGUAGUGUAGUUUGAAACUGUGCAAAUAGUUAGGAAUCUGAUUGUGUAGUUUGUUAUAGCUGAAACUUUAAAUAGCAGAGUAGAGAACCUCUCCUGAACAUGUAAUUCUUCAUCUCAAUAUACAGAAAUUAAAUUUGCAUUCUCCUGAUACAAACUUACAUGGUAUCAGAGCCACCCCGUAUUUCCUUCUCUUCGCAUCAGUUUCAUGGUUCCACCAUGGCAAUCUCAACUCAGUCUUCUCGGAUACAAGCUAGAGCUGCAAAUUCGUCCUCAGCCAUAACUCAAUCAAUGCAGAUGUUGAAUCAUGCACUGCCCAUUAAACUUGAUAAAGAUAAACUACCUGUGUUGGAAAACACAACUGGAGAAUGUGAACUUUGCAAACGGCUUUGAAGACCACAUUGAAGGUUUGACAGUCUGUCCUUCAAAAACAACAAGCAAUGGUGAAACAAAUCCAGAGUUUAUUCUUUGGAAAAGAUUUGACCGAAUGAUCCUUAGUUGGAUCUACUCCUCACUUACUCCAGAAAUUAUGGGUCAAAUAAAAGUGUAUCAAAUCUCCCAUGAAGCAUGGUCUGCUCUGGAAAAGAUCUUCUCAGCUUCAUCCAAAGCUUGGGUGAUGCAAUUACAACUAGAAUUUCAAACCACGAAGAAAGGAUCCCUUUCAAUGAUGGAUUACAAUCUCAAGCUGAAGAAUCUGACUGACCACUUAGUUGCCAUUGGAGAACUGGUAUACGACAGAGAUCAUAUUCUGCAACUGCUUGGAGGGCUUGGUGUGGAAUACAAUUCCAUUGUGGCCUCUCUUGUAGCAAGAGAAGAUGAAGUUUCACUGCAUACGGUGCACAAUAUUCUGUUAACCUAUCAACAGUGCCUAAAUCUUCAGAAUUCGACAGAAAACAAUGUAAUCUCUACAAAUCUCACUACCACGUCAUCAAAUCACCACAACAACAGAAGGAAUUCCAAUCGAAAUUCCUCAGGAAACAAUAGCAGAAUAGUCAACUCCGAACGCAACUCUCAUGGCAAUAGAAACUUGGUCUCUCAAAAUCACCCACAAAGUAAACUUUGUAGAAAGUCUGGACAUAGUGUGGUCCAAUGCUAUCAUCGUUUUGAUAUAAACUUCCAAAGGGUAAAUACCAACUCUGAAUCUAAGCCCCAUGCAACUAACAGAAAUCGAGAUUAAGCCCAUGUUGUGAUUGCAUCUUCUAUUAACAUAAAGAGUAAGGAAUGGUUCUUUGAUACUCGCGCCACCCAUCAUCUUUCUCAAACUACCACCUCUCUGGACAAUAAACAAUCAUAUAAUGGCAAUGACAAGGUGACAAUCGGGAAUGGUACACAAUUUCCCAUUCUUCAUACGGGUACUAAAAUUUUUCAGUUUCCUUUUAAAGUGUUUCAAUUAAAAAGAGUUCUUCAUGCUCCUCAUCUUGCAACCAAUCUUGUUAGUGUCUCUCAAUUCUGUGCUGACAACAAUACAUUUGCUCUCAGUUCUUUCUUGUCAAAGAACAGGUUACCAAGAAAGUUCUUCUCAAAGGUCAUCUCGAACGAGGAUUGUAUAAAUUUCCUACCAAUUUUAGCUCCACUACAGGCAUGUUCUCUAGCCUCAACAACUUUUCAUCUUCAAAUUCCACGAUUGAGCUUUAGCAUUCUCAACUUGGUCAUCCUGCUGAAGAUAUAUUGAAACACGUUCUGAACAACUGUAAUAUUUCUUAUCAAUGUAAUAAACACCAAAUCUAUUGUGUCUAUCAAUAUGCCAAAAGUCACAAGUUGCCUUUUUCGUUGUCCAUGUCAAGAGCAUCUCAUCCUUUAGUACUUGUUCAUGCUAAUUGUUGGUUGUAGUUUCACCCUUAAAACAGAGAUUGGCUAUAAAAAAAAAUAAAAAAUGGAAGAGUAACACCUAGGAAUAGAGGAGUUAAAAAUAGUCCACCAAAAAACAAAGGACCUUUUUUCUUUUCCUCACUUUGUAUUCUCGGUUAUGUUGUUUUUGUUGUACAGAAUGUAGUUUUCAAACCAAAUGCAAAGAGAUUUAACUUGAGUAAACCUCUCCACAUGGAAGCAUGACAACCACUCAAAACAUAAAAACAAAAAACUUAUUGUGAUGUUCCUCCAUACCCAAAAGCUUUCGGAAGUGAACCCAAAAGUUUCUCAACAAUUCUUUUAUCACUAAUUUCUUCGCCAUAUGACUUCAUCUGAUUAACUAAUCUAAAAGAAAACUCAUUUAGAAUUUCAUUCUCCUUCAUUUUCAUAUUUUCCAACUCUCUUCUUAAAGCUUGAAGCUUUACUGACCGGGUUCUUUUAUCUCCUUGGAACUACUAUUGAAGGAUGUCCCAUGCUUCUUUAGCUUUUGAAGCUCUCAUAAUUCUUGGAAAGAGGUUGUUAACAACACCUUGUUGAAUAAAUAAGAGAGCUUUUGCAUCCGUUUUUUUCAAUUCUUUCAACUUUUUUUUUUUCAACCGAAGUUAGUGUAAUCACAUUUUCAAGUUCAUCAAAACCAUUUUCAACCAAAUCCCAAACACCUUGAUUUAUAAAUAAUGUUUUCAUUUUUAUGCACCAAAAAUCAUAAUUUUCUCAUUCAAAUAAUGGAAUAGAAGAAGGUUGAGAACUCAUACUUGCAACACUUGAGCUAGCCAUUGAUCUACUCUUCAAAUCCUUGGCCGUCUACUUCAAGAUUGAUGGUUUCUAGCUACACAAUCUGAUUGCACAGCAACAACACCAAUUGUUCUUCGUUUUCUCUUUCCUUGUUUGCCUUCAAAUUUUGAUGCUUCAAUGACCACCAAUUCAGUCGUAUUGUAGGUUUGGAUUUGGGCCUUCAGAUUAAAAGAAACCCUAGUAUCCUCCAUCUCUAAAAUAGAGGAAAUUUCUGAAAUUUCCAUACACAAGAGGCAUGUUGUAAGAGAUAAGAGGGCUUGAAAAGAAGAGGUGGAUUAUAUUAAAUUGGAAACAACAAGGUGGAUCGAAGUUAGAUUGAGAGAUGGAUUCGUGAAAUAGGUGGGCUCUGAUACCAGUUCUGUUGGUUGUAGUUUCAGCCUAAAAAUAAAGAUUGGCUAUAGAAAGAAAAAAUGGAAGAGUAACACCUAGGAACGGAGGAGUUAAAAACAGUCGACCAAAAAACAAAGGGUCAUUUUUCUUUUCUUCACUUUGUAUUCUCGAUUCUGUUGUUUUUUGUUGUAUAGUAUGUAGUUUUCAAACUAGAUGCAAAGAGAUUUAACUUGAGUAAAUCUCUCCACAUGGAAGCAUGACAACCACUCAAAACAUAAAAAACAAAAAACUUAAUUUUUACAUAUAUAUAACCUAAACACAGCAUAGGCACAUUAUGUUACACUAAUAUCUAGGCUCCUGCACCCACUUUGUCUACUUCUGAUGCAUGAUUUUUUCUGCUACUCAUAGAUGACUUCUCAAGAUUUUCUUGGCUUUAUCCACUGCACACCAAAGAUUAAGUGCUUACAAUGUUUAUAAAAUUUCUCGCUUUAGUGAAAACAACUUAACUUCAAAAUUAAGAGCCUACAAUCAAAUAACGAUGGUGAAUUCAAAGAAUUUUCUUCCUAUCUUGCUGCCCAUAACAUUGAACACAAGUUCUCCUACCCAUACACACCUGAACAGAAUGGGAGAGUCAAGCAGAAAUUGAGACAUGUUAUAGAAACUAGUCUUGCUUUUCUAGCCAAAGCCUCCUCACCUCUCUCUUUCUGGUUGUAUGUUUUUCAUACUGCCAUAUUCCUCAUCAACCAUCUACCUACCAAGGUACUUAAAUAUCAAUCUCCAUUUCAAACUCUUUUUGGGAAAAUUCCUAAUUAUCAUUAUCUCAAGACAUUCGGUUGUCUUUGCUACCCAUACAUUAGACCAUACAACAAGCAAAAACUGCAAUAUUGUUCUACUCCAUGCAUCUUUCUUGGCUAUAGAAACAAUCACAAAGGAUACUUAUAUUUUGAUCCAAAAACUACCAGACUUUAAAUAACUAGACAUGUUGUUUCUCAUGAAUCAAUCUUUCCAGCUCUAUCACCUUCAACUUCUUCUAAUCCUAGUUCUUCCAUUUACACUCAUGCAUUUCUUCCCAUAAACAUGUCCUAUUCUCUUGCUUUAUCUUCUCCUGACGUUCCACAGCAUAACCCCACACCUUUGUCUUCACCACUUCACUCAUCUUCUGACCACACCCUUCAAACUAUACUUAACAAUGCUCCUCAGCAUCCUCUUAUUAUUACUAAUUAUCAUAUGAUCACGCAUGCCAAGGAUGGCAUUGUAAAAAAAGAAAUCUUUUUUGUCUCACAUGCCUACUAAACCAGCAACAUUUUCUCAAGCUAUCAAAAGUUUCUACUAGUCCAAGGCUAUGUAACAAGAGUAUGAUAUUCUACUCAAAAACAAAACAUGGAAUCUAGUUCUUGCUCCUCCAAAUGCCAAUAUUAUCGAUUGCAAAUGGGUCUGCAAAUUAAAACAUAACCCGAAUGGAACCAUUGCUCGUUACAAGGCUCUCCUAGUUGCCAAAGGUUUUACCCAAACACAUGGUCUUGAUUAAUUUGAAACCUUCAGCCCCGUUGUCAAAGCUUCAAGCAUCAAAAUAGUGUUUGCUCUUAUUCUCUCUUUUGGUUGGACAAUUCGUCAGCUUGAUGUGCAAAACGCCUUCCUCAACAGUGAUCUCUAAGAGCAAGUCUUCAUGAGCCAACCACCUGGUUUUAUCAACUCUCGAUUUCCUACUCAUGUCUGCAAACUUAACAAAACCAUUUAUGUGCUUAAACAAGCUCCUAGAGCAUGGUACACCAAGCUCGGUCAUGCUUUUCUUAGCUAGGGUUUUCAAGCCUCCCAUGCAGACAGCUCCAUGUUAUUUCUUCACACUGCCAAUGAUGUGCUUAUCUUAUUGAUCUAUGUUGAUGACAUCCUCUUAAUAGGUAGUGAUCCUCAUUGUGUUUCUUCAUUUUCUUCUCAUCUUAAUGUUACAUUCGCUCCUCGAGAUCUUAGUCAUCUUCAAUAUUUUCUUGGUCUAAAGACUAUGCAAGAAAAAAACUCAGUUCAUUUGAAUCAACACGAAUAUGUCCAUGAUCUUCUUCAACGUACCAAUAUGCUUGAAUCCAAAUCUGCUUCUGCGCCUGGUAUGGUUGGUCAAAAUUUAUCCAAACAUGAUAGAGAUCUUUCCAUGAUGUCACACUAUAUUGGCACAGUUGGUGCUCUUCAAUAUCUCACAUUAACGAGACCUAAUAUUUCAUUUGUUGUCAACAUAUCAUGCCAGUUUAUGAGUAGUCCCUCCAACACACAUUGGUUUUCUGUAAAGCGCAUCUUACGUUAUCUUAAAGGCACUACAUCUUAUGGUAUUUCCAUGCAACUGUCUCUCUUUGGACAUUUAAGCAUACACUGAUGCAGAUUGGGCUUUUUGUACAAAUGACAAAAGAAGCACCAGUGGCUAUUGUAUUUUCAUUGGGCCAAAAUUGGCAACGAGUAGAAAGUUGUUUCAAGAAGUAGUGUGGAAUCUGAGUAUCGUGGCAUAACUGUUGUCGCUUCCGAAAUUGCUUGGAUUCAAUCUCUACUCACCGAGUUAUGUCUUUCUCCUUCUGUGGUGUGACAACCAAAGUGUUGCACAUCUUGCUGCCAAUCCCAUAUUUCAUGGUCAAGCAAAGCAUAUUGAACUCGACCUUCAUUUUAUUCGUAAUAAAGUCCUUCAAAACCAACUUAGUAUUCGGUAUCUUCUCUCUUUCAACCAAAUCAUUGAUAUCUUCACUAAACAUAUCUCAAGCUCUCGGUUUUUUUAGCUUUCGAACCAAACUCUUUAUUGUUCUCAAACCUUUGUUCCCAAACCUGCGAGCUUGUGGGGGGAUGAUAGGCCACAACUGCACCAGCAACAGAAGGCUGAUGCAACAACAGAACUAAGAUCACUCAAUGCAAGAACUAUGCAAGUAGUUAGGAAUUUGGUAGUGUAGUUUGAAUUGUGAAAAUAGUUAGGAAUUUGGCAGUGUAGUUUGUUACAACUGAAACUAUAAAUAGUAGAGAAGAGAACCUCUCCUGAACAUGUAAUUCUUCCAAUCAAUAUACAUAAACUAAAUUUGCAUUCUCCUUAUACAAACUUAUACUCCUUUCUCAUCUUCUCAUCUCAAAUUUCAUCCACUUGGAUAGUAAUAAAUUUCUAUAUAUGAGUAAUUCUUUUUGUGUUACUUAAAAUAUCUUAAGUUUGUUUUUGAGAAAAACAAAAAUAGAAAAUGGUUUUAUGUUCUACGUCUUUCAACUAUUCUCACUUAUUUUAAAAAAUAAAUAUAAAAAUAUGUAAAAUGAUAAUAAAUAAAUAAAUAAAGUACUGACGUAAAAGUUAUUUUUUAAAAAUAUAUAUAUAUUUAAAAACAUAAAAAAAAUAAGUUAAUAAUAUUUCUAAUUCUAAAAUAAAAUUUUAUUCACAAAACAUGAAAGAACAAUUUUUAGAAACAAUUCUCAAAUAUCAUUUUUCAUAAUUGUUUUUUAAAACACUUCCCAUUUUUUUAUAGUUUUUUUUUUAAAGAAUUAUUUAUUAAGAGUCAUCUUGUCAGUGAUCCUAAGAAGUGUUUUUAGUCAAAAAAAAAGUUUUUGAAAAAACAUUGGAUGUUUGACAGAAUUAAGGAAAUAUCUUUCAAAUUUUGAAAAAUCAUUUUCUAGAAAAAUGUUUAAUAGAUGAUUUUACGAAAAAACAAUUUAUGAGAAAACACUGCCAAUAAAAAAAAAUUAAAUAGAAACACUUUCAAAUACACUUAAAAUGUUUUUCUUAGAAGUAUUAUAAGUGAUUUUUUAACUUUUUAAAACCAUUGUUUAAAUUUUAUCUAAUUUUUUUUUCUCAAAAAUAUUUUUGUACGUAAGCUAGAACUAGAAGUACUUUCUAACUUCAAAGAAUCUUUACCCGGCCGUUAACGUUUUAGACACCGCCGUUACCAGGCCCUUCUCUCAUGCAAUUGCUUAUAUAAAAACAAACACUUUUGUUACUUGGUACUAGAGCGCAUUAGAACUUUAGACAAAACAGAAGAUUCCUUACUUUUAUUUAGGCAUCAAACCCACUCAUUCAAGCAUAUUUAAAUUUAAAUGCAGUCGUCCAUGUAUACACAAAAGACCCAUUACCAAGAAGGUGAUCAUCCUUUUUCAGGGUUGGUUGUUCAAAAUUCAAAAUCAGUUGGCUGAAGAACAGAAAGGAAAAGAACAGAGCUGAAUUUGCAGAAAAGUAUUUUUUUUCUUUUUCCUUUUCUAAGGAUCUUGGAAUCCUUUUCCUAGUAUAGACAGAACAUUAGAGGUAUAUAUAUGGUAGUGGGAAGUGAUUCUUCCCCAUAAAACAUUUUCUUUUCUAUUGAGUCAUGGGAUUCUAUCUUCAGCUUCAAGGGAUCAUAGUUUUUAGCCUUCUGUUUGCUAUCAUCUGUUUGUGAUUGAUUAAGGGCAAAGGGAACAGAAACAGAGGAAAAAGGGCACCAGAACCAUCACGGGCAUGACCUUUAAUCGGACACCUUCAUCUUCUACGAGUAGGCAAGCCCCAACAUCAAGCAUUUGGAGCCAUGGCAGAUAAGUAUGGACCAAUCUUUUGCUUUCAUAUUGGCCUGCGCAAAACUUCGGUGGUUAGCAGCUGGGAAGUAGCAAAAGAAUGUUUCACUACCAUGGACAAAGCAUUUGCCACUCAACCCAGAUCCUUGGCAGGAAAGCUCAUGGGCUAUGACCAUGCCAUGUUUGGCUUCUCUCCUUGCAGGGCAUACUGCGUGAUGUAAGGAAGCUGGCCUCAAUUGUGUUGGAUUGUGAAGCUUGAACUAGUUUUAUUGCGCUUCGCUCAGGAUGUCGGGAGUCGAGCUGCCCGAUCAACUCAUGAGGGUCAAAUGGUUGCAAAGUUUGUUGACAUAGGUGAGAUUCAAACAUGUGAUGAAUGUUCUGUAUAGUGAUAGCCAAAGUGCAAUACAUUUUGCUAAGAAUUCAGCAUUUGACUAGACAUAUAACAAUUCUUUAUCACUUCAUCAGGCCUUUGCUUAAAAGUGGAGUGUUAACACUUGUGAAGAUACACGAUAACAAGAAUCCAACUUACAUGUUGAUCAAAGCACUAAUAGCAGAGAAUCUAGAGCUAUGCUUAGCUUCAGUGGGUCAAGGGUAAGGAUAGGUUGUUUCAGUGCACUAUACCUAUUAAUCAUUGAAGGAGGAGGUUUAUUGUGUUUCAGUCCAAGCAUAAGAUUAUUAGAUUGUCAAGCCUGAAUCAAUUUUGUUGUAUUUCGCUCGGAAUGUUAGAGAUUAAGAUGUUAGGUCAGCUCAAGGUGAUCGAGCUCCCAAUGAGCUCGCAAGGGUUGAGCUCCCUAAUGAGCUCGAUAAAGGGAUCAAGUUGCCCGAUCAACUCAUGGGAGUUGAAAGGGGUAGCGCCCCUUGAAAAAAAAAAAUAUAUAUAUAUAUAUGCAUUGAUUGAUGAGUUUACACCUAUUAUAUAUUUAACUUUUUUACGUUUAGGGUUUUGUUUUUCUUAGAGUGCAGCCACAAUUGAGAGAUUUUUUUUUAGAGCUUCAUCAUUCUAACUCAUUUUUCAUUUUGAUUAGUGAAUUGUUGAGUAUUGGUGCACUCUGUGGACAUAGGGAUCACAUUUAUCGCCGAACCAAGUUAAAAUUCUUGUCUUUUUCUUUAUUUUCUACUCAUGUGUGUGUGAUUUGAUUAACAGGUUGAGCUCUUCUCAAGCCACCAGCUUGAGUUACUCAAUCAUGUCCGGGACUCAGAAGUCAAGCUUUUCAUCAAAGAGCUCUACAGGCAAUGGAUACAAAAUGGGGAUAGACCUCUCUUGGUCGAGAUGAAGGAGAAGUGUUGGCACCUGGCAGCAAAUGUAAUGGUGAGCACAGUAGCUGGGGAACGGUAUUUUGGCACCGUUACAAAUGACUAUGAGUCAAGACAGUGCCGCAAGGCCCUUGGCGAUUUCUUAUAUCUCUCGGGGAUAUUUAUGGUUUCUGAUGCAAUCCCCUUCCUUGGCUGGUUGGACACAGUGAGAGGAUAUACGGCAAAAAUGAAGAGAACAGCUAGGGAGGUGGAUCAGGUGCUGGGAAGCUGGGUGGAGGAGCACGGCUGGAAAAGGGUCUUUGGAAGUAUGAACGAGGCUGAUCAGGACUUUGAGUGCUUUUGGUAAUGAUUAUACGAAGUGUUUUUAGUUUUUUUUUAACAUUUGAAAAUUUCUAUCUUUUAAAUAUUAAAGAUAUUAAAAAUACUUCUUAAAAUCACUAUCAAAUAUACUCUUUAUCCAUAGGAUGUUGUGUCUGUUAUUAAGGAUGGUCAAUUCUCCCAUCAUGACCAUGACACUGUCGUUAAGGCUACUUGCUUGGUAUGUUUCUUCUACUUUCCUUGGUCAAAUUCCAUAAACCUCCACACACUUCUGUACGUAAGGAAACAGCAAACCUCCAUCUUGAUUUGUUUUGUCCAGCUGUUCCACUUACCAUUUCAGGACUGAUGAUUAACUCUCAACUUUCUUUGACAAAAUUUAUGGGAAUAAUGAAAACUAUGAUAAACUUUUAAAUUGUUCUACCGACAGCUAGACUCACUAUUUUUUAACACAUACUGAUCAAAGGAGCCAUAUCACCGGCUCAAAAGACCAACAUGGAUGUAAUGUUGAUGUAGACUCUUAUAUAGGCGGCUUUGAUUCAACAGUGAUCACACUGACCUCAGCCCUCUCUCUGCUAAUGAACAAUCCUAGCACUCUAAAAAGAGCACAAGAUGAGUUAGACAUCAAAGUGGGAAAGCAUCGCAAAGUGGAUGAGUCAGACAUAAAGAACCUAGUCUACUUGCAAGCCAUCAUCAAGGAAACCUUACGACUGUACCCUGCUGCACCGCUUUCAGUGCCACGUGAGGCCAUGGAGGAUUGCAACGUGGCAGGCUUCCACAUCCAAGCUGGGACUCGCCUUCUGGUUAACCUGUGGAAGUUGCCCCGGGACUCCGAAAUUUGGCCGGACCUUUGGAGUUCCAACCUGGGGGGUUCCUAACGAAGCAUGUGGAUUUUGAGGUCGUGCAUCUGACACUAGCCAUCUGACACUUCCUAAAAUAAUAUUUAAGAUUAUAUUUAGUUUUUGGAAAAUAUGAAAGAAAACAUGAGGAAAAAAAAAAAAGGAAAAUAGAAGAAAAUUAAAAAAUUAAAAAAAAAUCAAUAAUUCAUUUUUAUAACAUAAUAACUUAAAUGAAUAAAUACAUUAAAGAUAUGGUUUUCAUGGGACAAAUUUCUUACAAUAAUGCGCCUAACUUGGAUUAACUCCUAAAAACUUGCAUCAUGCUGGAGGCUCUCCUAUUAUAACAAGAAAAGUCUUCAUCUUUGAGCUUUCAAAAGCAUUUGCAUCAUGAUUAAACAAAGGAUUAAACAAUAAUCUUUUGUUUUGUUAUUAUCAAAAUAGUCUUUAAAAAGCUUUAGCCUAACAACUCAUGGUUUCUUAUGUAAUCCCUUCCUUGGUUGGUUACACACGGUGAAGGGGGUAUAAGGCAAAAAAUGAAGAGUACAGCUAGGGAGGUGUAUCAUGUGCUUGAAAGAUGAUUGGAGGAGCAUCCUUUCAAGAGGCUUGCUGGGAGUAUAAAUGAAGCUAAACAAGACUUCAUCCAUGUCAUGCCGUCUGUUAUAGGAGAUGGACAGUUUUCUGGUCAUAACACUGACACAAUCAUUAAGGGUGCUUGCUUGGUAUCUCCCUGUUCUUUCUAUUUUUUGAUGAAAUUAACAGCACCGAGUUGCACUGUUUUCACUUGCACUAUUUUCAGUGUUGCAUUAGUAGUGUUGAAUUGCAAAGCAUGAAUCAGUUUUAUAUAUCACAUAGAAGAUGUUGGGGGUCAAAUCACCCGUUGAGCUCACAAUGGUCAAGGUGCCCAUUUAGCUUUGUAGAGAUUGAAGGGGCAAGGCCUAUAGAUAAUUUUUUUUAUUUAUUAAAUGAUGAGUUUAUCCCUAUUGUAUUUAAUCGGCUUAUGAUUUAGAAUUUCCAUGAAGGGUUUUGUUUGAGAGAGAGAAUUGUAUGUAUGACCAUGAUUGCGAGGAGAAGGAUAACUCUCGCCAUUAUAAUUUUUCUAUCUUUAUUAAUUAGAUUAGUAGAUUCUUAAGUGUUGAUAUGAUUCUUAAGCGUAGUGAUCAUAUUGACCAUAGAAAUAGAGUAAAUUCUUUUAUUUUGUCUUUCUUUAUUUCUAAUUGUGUGUAUAAUUAAGUUAACGAAAGGACUGCACUGUUGCAGGAUUCCAUAUUAUCCAAAGUAACCAUGACGAUAUUAUCUUUUGAACUCUACUUCUAUUAGCAGCAGCAAAAGUAAUAGCCUAAUGUGUGCAACAAAGUCUUCAGGUUAGUUCAGGCACUGUCUACUCCAGCAUAGAAAGUGGGAAAAAAUGUGUGCCACAACCUUCCCAAUUAGUUCAGGCACUGUCUACUCCUUAAUUCUGAACCAUUCAGUCCAAACGGGCAUCCACCUUACACUUAGGUAAGGCAAAGCUUCUCAAUAUUAUCCGUGUAAUGUGUGGUGUGUGGUAAAGAGCAUGCCAAACUUUAUAGCUAAAUCAACCCCAUUUUUAUGGGGCUAGAUACACUCCCACGUGAUUUUCAAUGAAUAAAUAUGCAUCAUAACAACUGGCCAGAGAGAUGGGUUUUUUCAUACUCAGAACUAUCAUAUAUAAGACUUCGAAGGAGCUUUCAUAUUUUGUAUCAUUGACAGCUGUCUAUAGUUUCCAUAUUAGGAUGGCACAUGUGUGGAACAUGAAUUCGACCUGUCGGUGUUCUAGUGUGUGUAGUUUUGAGCCAUUUUGGAGAAGUGAUUCUUUCCCCUGAUGCAUUCGACAAUGUACUGAGGGUGGUGACCUGCCCCUUUUCUCAAUGUAAUCACGUUUUAUAUAUUUUUUUUAGGUAUAAGAAGCACUCACAGAAAGUGUGACCUGGGUAUGUAUAAAUAUCCCUGUUCUGAACAGAGAAAACUGUGAAAACAGAAUAGAAAACCAUUUUUCUCUCUCCAGCCCUCUUUCUCUUCACUCUGGUACUAUCCAGUCAUGGGAUUCUCCCUUCAGCCUCAAGAUAUCACAGUUUUGGGCUUCUUCUUGCUACAAUCUGUCUGUUGUUGGCAACAGCACUUAAUGCCAAAGGGAACAAGAAGAAAGGCAAAAGGCCACCAGAGCCGUCCGGGCAAUGGCCUCUUAUCGGUCACCUUCAUCUUCUAGGAGCAGACAAGCUGCUACAUCGGACACUUGGAGACAUGGCUGAUAAGUAUGGACCCAUCUUUUGCGUUCGUCUUGGCCUCAAAA